RNAcentral lists this long non-coding RNA (83137 nucleotides) under Setaria viridis. RNAcentral describes it as "long non-coding RNA (SVIR_LNC007217)". Lineage: Eukaryota; Viridiplantae; Streptophyta; Magnoliopsida; Poales; Poaceae. The record is from RNAcentral.
AAGCAAAUGCAUCCAACUAGAUCGUCCUUGUGCUGAAUAAUUGGAUAUCGUAUCCACUUAAAGCUGCCUUGUGUAGUACGUCUUUGUGUCUCUCUUUAUAUUCCAAUAAGGUCGGUGAUCUUGAUGCCACACACUCAGAUGUGUGUUCAUCUCCAGAUACUACUCCAUGCUACCUGCCCUUUGUGUUUUGUUCAAUAACUGGGUAUCAUAUCCCAGCCAGUAUGCCGUCUGUUUUGUGUUUGUUUCCUUCUAGUUCCAAAGGGGUCAUCAUGAUGUUACCUUCUUUCAAUAUGGUGCUUUGCAUGACUACUGUUGUAUGGUACCAUCUUGUGGCCAAUAAGUACAUCUUAUCCUAUGACCUUUGCUAUGACCCUUUGCAAAUAAGUAGAAGAUUGUUAUAAGCGUCAAUACUCCGUAUAAAUUGAUCGCUGCUGUGAGUUCCCUUUCAGCUUAUCGUAGGCAUACAUUAUUGCUAGCACGGUAAAGCCAACCAACACGAAUGAUGAAGUAAACGUAGCGGUACUUCUGUAUACCAACACCCUUACUUAAAUGUACCGGUGUCAUUCCCUACUGGCACAUAUAUUCUUAUAUGCUAGCCAGCUUGUAAAAUUAACCAAUUAAAAUAAUUAUUUCAAGAUAGAAAUAACUUAUCGGUUUCUGGAAGCAUGUGUAAUGUGAAUUCAAGGACUCGACGGAAGUUGAAUCACUUCAUCUAUAUUGCUUUCAGUAUUUUGGGUAACUAAAUUUAACAUUUGCACAUACAAAUGUUAAAGUACAAAUGUUAAAUCUAGUUACCCAAGCAGAAUAUGAAGAUAGUUUAUAGUAUAUAUAUACUAUAUAAAUCUAGUUAACAUUUAGUCUAAAUGUUAAAUCUAGUUACCUAAAAUCCUGAAAGCAAAAUGUAUAAAUAUAUAUCUUUUAAGGCAGUAUAAGCUUCGAUUCCUAUUGCUGCUCUGUUAAAUCUCAUCUUUCGUUGUGGCCCAACACUCUAGUAUGCAUGUUGCACCAAGCUUCUUUGAGCCGCUCUGCCCUCUGAUUUUGCUGCGUAGGGGAAUCUUUAUCAGGUUGGGCUACUUCCAGUUGUGCGAUGUAAAGAUUCGUAUUUUCUAGAAGGUAGACAAAAAACUCGCGUUCUCUUAAGGCAACAACCGGAAGAUUCUGCAGCGCACAGGGCAUACCAUUAUUGUAGAAACGACCUUUAGUACCGAUCUCCAACCCCCUUUAAAACUGGUUUUGCAACCGGUACCGUUAUGUCGGUCCUUUAGUACCAGAUCAAAUAAGUACCGGUUGGUAACCAGUAUCAACUUGUUUUGCGGCCAAAAAAAUAAAGAAAAAAACAGUCAGAAGGCUCGCGCACACGCGCAUCACAUGAAAUAUGCGUGUGCGGGGUCCAUGGGAUUCGAACCCAUGAAAUCAAGCUGCGCGCGACCCUUCGUUACCAUCUCACCUACAUAGCGCAUAUGCUUUCCUGAAGUAACCCGUGGAGGAGGCUUUAGUACCGGGUCAUAACACCACCCGGUACUAAAAAUGACUCUUCAGUACCGGGUCAUAACACCACCCGAUACUAGUAUCGGAUGGUGUAAUGACCCGAUACUAAAAGGCCUCUAGGGACCCUCAAAUUUGAACCCGGUACUAAUGCUAAUAUUAGUAGCGGGUCAAAGUGCAGCCAGAACUAAAGCAUGGGAUGAAAGGUCAUAUUUCUAGUAGUGUAUAGUUGUUGUGAAGGACUGACUUGGCUGUCCUCUCUCUUCUCCAUCCCCUUGGUCUUACGCCGCCGCUCGCACGCGAGCCGGUGCCCAACCAGAGGAGUGAGAGCUAGGGGCAGGUUGGGAGGUGGGGAUAGUGACUGGUGGCCAGGGUGAUGGUUGAUCCUGGUGGGGUUAGGGUUUUAGGGUUUUCGAGCUUCCUAUGGUCGGCGAACCUAGAGGAGGAGCUCAACAUCAGCUGCAACCCGCGAUGGUGGUGGUUUGGCCGGCGCCCGAGGCGAGGCAGCGCGGGAGUGCUGCCGGUGGGUUGGUGUUGGCACUCAUUAUUGACAACUAUUUUGUUCAUAAAAUAACACUCAAACUUGCUGCUGCUGCUGCUGCUGCCAUCGCCACCCUAGCCAUAAUAUAAAGGCAAAAUUUGCUAAAGGACAUGCAAAAUGAUGCUAGUUUGCUGGCGGGCAUCGUUGACCUUGUAAUAUGCUACAAGACACUCUAGUUGUGUAUCAAUUUGCUGAAAGACAUUGCUAUGACUAAAAUAAUGUUUCUGGACUGAGUUGGAGAGAGAGAUGGAGUGAAAUGUCUGUUUUGCCCAUGACCCCACUGGUCAGAUCCUUCUUCUUCCACCCUCCUUUGUUCUUUCUUCAACCAUUACCCAGCUCCAGCGUGUUGCAGAUCUACGAGGGUGGCGGCCUGGGGCGAGGGGCAUCGCUCGCCCUUGGAGGAGCGCUGCGAGCGACGGCGCGGGGGCGGCAACAGCGCGUCAGAACCUGACUGUUCGUUAGCUCCUCUCGCUGCUGGGGAAGGAGGGGGAUGGGCCAUGGACGGGGUUCCCUUGAAAACCUCAGCGUCGAGCUCGGGCGGCUACGCGCAGGCAGCACUAGGCUGCUUCACGGGGAGGGGGCGCGGCCAAUCAUUGGCACCCCACUGGUCCAAUGCUGAUGAAGAUGGUGCCAGCGUCGUGUGAGGACAUCUCAUCUCCUCGAGUUCCAUGGCCAGCACAGGUGAGCUGCCGCUACCACAAAACAGAGGUUUCGUGAGAGUCAAAAAACCUUAUGAAAAUAGCUAAAACCAUCAUGAAAAUAAUCCGUGACAUGACACUCUCACGAAAAUCCUCUCACAAAUAUGGUGCCAUGAAAAUACCAUUUUCAUGAGAGUGAACUGUCAUGAUUUUAUUUCGUGAGAGUAUUUCCUAUCAAUGACCUCCACGAAAUACUUUGUGCCACCAGGUCUUCAAGAUCAUUUUCAUGAGAGCUGAACAUCAGGAAAAGUCCGCCACAAAUGUUUUUCUUGGAGCCCCUAACUCUCAUGAAAAUCAUGCGGGCCGCCACGAAAAACAGCAUGACCAAAUGACAAAUUUCAUUUUCAUGUGUUCAUACCGCCAUGAAAAUGGUCAUUUUCAUGAGAGUUGAUGAAACAAAAAAUAGUGCCAUUUUCAUGAGAGUUCAAGCAACCAGGAAAAGACACUAAUAAACAUCCAGAUCCCAUCCAGCACACAUCCAUGCACAUAUAUAACCCACAUAUUGCUCCAGCACACAUCCAUGCAUAUACAAGAUCCAAAUGUUAAUAUAGUAGACAUCCAUGCCUGAACUAGUCUGCCACACAAGUCAUUGAUGCUACAAAUCCUACAAUCGCAGCAUGUGCAUACAAGUCACAGAAUGAGACAAUGUACCCAAAACUAAAAGGUUAGCAUCAACUGUGCUUCAACCAAAGUUGUCAUCCCAACUCUCCUCUUCAUCCAUGCCAUUCUUGUCGUGGCCGUCACUGUCAGUCCCCAUGGCAUUGCCAAUGCUGUGCAUGUCUUGGUAGGAACCUACAUGUGAUGAACUAGUAACCUGCAAAAAGAGCUCAAAGGAUCUUGUUCUCAUAUUGUAGCUGUGAAAUUCUUACAAGUAGUGUUGCAAUCAGUUCACUUUGAACCAAAAGAGCUCAAAGGAUCUUGUCCUAAAAGUUCCUCAUAAAGCUUAUGGGUUUGCUGGUGGAACUGGAAGGGCUUGAUGCAGCAGAUGCCAUUCUGCAAUAGAGAAAAAUUUAGAGAGCAGUACUAGUUAAAAUUGGAUGCAGAAGAUACACAUGAAACUAGUAUUUAUACAAGUCUAUACAAUUAAAAUCUAAGGAGACUUAUCAUCGUUUUCAUGUGUUGUGAAUUAAAAUAAUGAAGGAUACACUGUUAGGUGAAAAUUCAAGAAACAAAAUUUUGCAUAGAGAUAAAGGUCCAACAUUAUUACAAGUUAAGGUAGUUUUAAAUAUCCUUGUAAUCUUCCUUUGGUUUCCUCAACGAUUCGAAGACAAUAACCUUGCUUCUAUCAAUGAUAAUUAUAAGGAGAAUCCAGUGGAAACUGUGUAUUCGUAUUAGAACUACCUAAGGUUAAUUAGGUUAGGAAAGGAAAUUGAAAAUAGAUGGUACCCACACUUACUUAAAGUUGUCGGGCAAUAGUAUGUAAUGCUUGUAAUUCCGUUGCUCCAAGAAUUUGUAUAUGUGGUCCAAUGUAGACUUUGGUUGAUCCCGUAUCUGCUGUUGGUUAAAUAAGUGUUUCUAGCCAUUUCUAGCCAUUAGAACCGGGACUAAAGGGGGCUCUUUAGUACGGGUUGAUAUUACUAACCGGGAUUAAAGAGCCCCCAUUAGAGUUGGUUUUUGGAUGCGGAACUAACAACUCCUUUAGUCCUGAGUACGAAAACAACUGACAUAUUUGUUGCUGGAUGGAAGGUCCUUUCUCUACCGUGAAUAUUGCCAGAAAGAAUUGAAAGAGACUGCUUGCUAAAAAUAUGUCAUAGAUGUAGACCAAGCUACCAAGGAGGUAGACCAAACAUGAUACACACCAUGCGUACCUUGCUGUGCAGACUAUGCAUUGACAAGAUACCCGACCACAUGUUGGCCUCGGUCACAUCAAAAGAAUCAUGUAGGCCACCAAUAAACUACUUGAAGCGGCAUUCCGUAUCGUAUAUGCAUUGCCGGUUCAUCUGCAUUACAUUACAUAAAGCACUAUUAACUAUUUGAAUAAAAUGAACCAAUUUAAAAGUAAUGUGUUGUACUCUACUAUAGAAAGCCCUAUCACUGCCGGAUCCAAAAACAUCAUUGUUAAUGGUGGUUAAGUACCAAAUAUGACGGUCAAUAUUCUCAAGAAUAAUGGAGAAUUAGCAUUUCUUAGACACAUAUUUGGUUUUGAACAAUGUAGUUCCACAUGUCUUUGGAGAUUAUUUGGGUGUGGGUGAAAUAAUACAAAAAUAAGGAGAAAACACACUCCCAUGGCGAAGAAACACAACUCCAACCAAUGAGAGAUAGCCACAGGGGCAGCACACGGAUCCAUGGGCCCACUAACCGCAUCAAACCAUCUUACCAAGGCAGGUAGCACCCACAACCGUCAUUAGGACCCACCUGGAAGUCUACCAAGAAGAAGGUUGCGAGUGGGGCCAGGAGGGGUUCGGUUGAAUCAUCUCUAGCUAGCUCCCCUCAUCCCCAGCUGGUGGGUGGUGGUGGUUGAUGGUGUCCCUACAUCAGUUAGAGGAGAUUCCCCCAAAUAUUCCUCCUGUAAACCACCUCUAUGGACCUAUACAUAGAGGGGUGUGCUCUCCAUUCCAACACACACCACAAGUUGAAUCACUCUCUCCCUCUUUAGUUUCCAAGUUUAUGGAGUUAGGCUAGAGUAGCUCUGCUCAAGGUUCCAAGUCCACUUGGAGUUAAGCAUAUGUCUCUUGUAUCGUUAUUUCCUAAAUUGACUUUAUGCUUAGUUCUUAUAUGCAUGAGUUAGUCUAAUACCCUUGCUAUAUUGAUAUGCUCGGCUUAUAUGCUCGUAUGCUAGUCAUAUACCCUUGCUGUCGUAGUAUAGGCUUAUAUGCUCUCAUGUGUGCCUGUAGACCUUGCUAUAGUAUAUACUUGUUGUGCAUACAUACCAUGUAUAGGCUAGUCGAUCUAUACCAUGGCAUUGGUUCAAUAGCCAUGUUUUUGGUGGCUCCAACCCUAGUCACAAUAGCUCGGGACAGCUGGAGUGUUGUUAAAAAUGCAAGAGUGGUGCUUGGGUUGUUUAGCAUCGUUGGAUAUGGGUUUGCCCCACGGGUUUCUAACGGUAGGCGGCAGCUAGUGACAUCCCUGUCCGUCCUUCGUAAUCCCCCCACAUUCAGGUACGCCAUAAAUGUUCGUAAAUUAGCAGUAACUACGCCGGUACACCUGUAGGGUAUUGUCUCCCUGUAGUACCUUGGUGCAUAGAACUAAGUCCUAUACACUGUGUGUGUAUGUUUACGCUGAUAUGAUCUGUGCAGUAUAUAGGAUGUAUAUAUGAACCUAGAGCUAACUCCUAGUCCGUUCUCCAUAGCUUAGUUAUCUUGAGAUGAUUCUUCUGUAUGUGUAACACUACCCAUCUUAUCAUUAUCCUUGAUCCUGUCUUGUGUAAUAUAUCUACUCAUCCUAUGAUAUACUCAUAUGCAUAGUAAACUAUUUUGACCUACCCGCCUUCCUUUGGGAAAUAUGAUACCUUGGAAUAAUCCUAGGUGAAAUCCUACAACGGUAUAUCCAUGUAAAUGCGGAUUUAUUCAUGACCAUUAAAUAUACCAACAAUCAUCACUGUGAGUUUUGGGCGUCGUUAGUGAAGGGUUGGUAGUGAUGGGCAUCCCCUUCACCAAUGGACCUGGAACCGGCGGUGAUGGCUAUUAUAAAAAAGGGGACACCACCCAGCGUACCCCACGACCCGGCCGGCCGCACCUCCCAUCAUCCCCGCCAGCCGCCCUUCCUUUUCGCCGGCCGAGCAUGGUCCCGGCCUUUGUCCCUACCACCUCGCCUCCACCGCGACCCCCCGCCGAUGCCCUCGUGCCUGGCCCCCCUCAUCUUGCCGGCCACCCUCCCGAUGCGUCCACUGGGGCCCUCGCACCACCAACCGCCCUUGCUUAGAGAGGGAGAGAGAGGAGGGAGGUGAGGCCACGCACCUCGUCCUACACCGCCGCUGUUUCUCCUCGGCCCACCGCGCCUCACCCCACACCACAGCCGCGCCUUGCCAUCUUACCGGCUGUGACGCCUCAUCUCACCGGCCACCGUUCCUCACCCCCACUUCGGUCGUCGCCGCUCCUUGCCCUACCGCUGCUCUUUGCCGCUGCGAAUGAGCGCCGAGUGGAGGAGGAGGGAUGGGGCAGGAGGAGGGCAAGAUCCGGGAGGAAGGGAGAGAUCUCGGGAGGUGGAGAUGGAAGGAUAUGGCGGAAGGGAGAGAUCCAGAGGGAGAGAGCAGGGGAGAGAGGGGGGCGUGUGGGGAGAGAGCGCGUGUGGGGUGGGGCCGGGCUGGUGGGAUGGAAGGGAGAGGGGCUAGACGGGCGCAGUGCAUUCAACUGGAUGAAGUAAAUAUUUUGGAUUCGAGACCCCAGCUUUAUUAUCACCGCUGGUCCGUAGUACCAUCCGGUGCCUGCUCGUAAUUUAAUUUGAAUCUGCGGUGAUGUUUUAUUAUCACCAUCGGAUCAUAUAAAAAUCCGGCGGUUAAAAAUCCGCUGGUUUCGAUGAAAACCGACGGUGAUAGGAUGACUGUGAUAGUCUCUUCUCUAGUAGUGGUAUAUUAGUACCGGCUGCCGGAUGGUGUUGCCGACCAGUACUUCUCCGGGGGCGAUUCAGUACUGCUGUUAGCAAAGCUUGUUCUCUAUGAAUUUGGGGAUGGAAAGCUAGUUCUCUAGUUGUGAUUUGUUACAUAUAUAUCUAUGAUAGUCUAGAAAUUGCAUGUCCUUCGUUGACAUAGUUGAAGCUGCUUCAAGAAUUUACUUCGUGCAGUCGUGCAGCAUAUUGGAUUAUCACCUAGACAGGAUACAUAGGUGAAGCAUUGGAUGUGAUUGUGGCCGAUAAUUAUGCAGGACGCUGUUGCAAUCAACCACCAAGAAGUCUGGAGUGAUGGGGUUGCCUCAUCAAUAAUUUUUAUAUAUGGCUGCAGUAUUAUUAAGCCCACGUCAAUAAUUUUUUGUCCGCACCAUAUAUCGAUGGGGUUGCCUCAUCAAUAAUUCGCGCAACCAGACAAGCUGCAGACUCAAUAUGGUACGAAGCUAGUUGCUCAGCCCACAUGCUCUGAUAUAACAUUGACAUCUGCUGAUCUACAGUAUAUAUGACCAGAAAUAUUGUGCCCACCUCAAUAACUUUCUGAAGUAUCGUGGGGAAGAACCUACGCGUACUAUGCCUCGGAACUAACUGACAUAUCGGCCCAGGCGGUCUAGGCCGAUUGGACUGGCUCUUCCUUGUGGCUUCUCACAUCCCCUUCGUCCCCAAGUAAUUUCAGGUGUUCUGUAGUUUUCUUUUCACUUGCAUCUGAGCCUCCUAUAUCAAUAGCUUCGGGAUAAGAAUGCCUCUUGAUAACCUUCCAAAUCCUCGCUUGAUUCACAUUGAUUCCGAAAUCAUCUUGCCAUAUCUUCAGAGACUUAGGUCCUAAGGCAUCAUGGAGGAUUGCUCGCCAAGAAUGAGCACCAUUGGGCUCCUGAGGACCCUAGGCCGAUCAGCCCGGGCUCUAUAGGUCGAUUGGCCCAGGCCCUCUCUGGGCCUGUUGGCCUUCAUCUUUCUUUGAGUCGACGCUUAUUCAGGGCUUUGUCCAAUUAUAGUCCAUUAUAGUCUAAUUUCCUAAAAAACAGAAUGUCCUCCAAAAUACAAUGCAUAUGUGAAAACAACCCAAUUAUUAGGUAUGAUCAAUAGUUUAGGUAUUAAAUUAAUAUUAUUAUUUAAGAUAAACAGGGGUAAAGGGUGUCAUUAAUAACAAGCGCCAACAAGCGUCCUAGCUGUUCAAUAAAUUUUUUCUAGUACCGAUUGGUAACACUAACCGGUGCUAAUAUGUACCCUUUAUUACCGGUUAUUUUACCAGGUACUAAAGGAGACAAGAGCAUCCUAACAUAAGGUUAAUAUCAUCCAUUUCAUGAGUAAAAUACUAUGAUUCAAAAAUAAUUCAAAUCCCUUAAGACAAUACCUAUCAAAUGAGUAAAUUGUAAAUAGAGUAAUCUUGAUCAAACAAUGUCCUAAUGAAACGGAACACUUCUGGUUCGUGUAGAGCACAAUAUAGAAAACAGUAGGGUAGCUGUAUGAUUGACACGUGGUCCAUUAAUUAUUGAGCCAACACUAUGGACAUGUCUUCAUGAGUAGUGUACUAGUCAUAAUACAUGGUAUGCAGUAGGUGGAGGUAUUGACUUAGCCAUGCUAUGAGCACUUAGUUACAACAAACACUUUGCCAUUAUCGAGCAUCCCAAAUCACUACAAAAUCCAUAGUUUACCAUAUACUACAAAAUCUGAGUUAAAAUAAGAGCAUACACGGAAGAGUCCGAAUGCACGGCACAUUGAAUUACUAGACAAAAUUUAUGGGACAAGGUUUUGGGUAACCGCAUGAAAAAUAUUGGAUUUUACUGAACACUUAGUUACAAUUACCAUGCCCGUGAGCACUUAGUCACCACAAACAUUUAACCACUUUAGAUCAUCCUGAAUCCCUAUAAAUUCUAUACCUUACACCGUACCAUGAAAACGACAAGAACAGAGACAGAUGCGGUGAAAAUCUCCAGAGCAAGCCUGAAAUUAAAAUAAGAGGAGGCAGUCACUAUCGACAGGACACGGAGAUUGCUAGCCAUGACAGAGGAAGACAUGAUAUGAUAUUCACCUCUGAAAUGCAGCGUAGACUAAAUGAAGCACAAUUGCAAGUGAGUGUGGCAGAUAAUGGACCAUCGAGACCAUCGAAUGGUAUGAAGCAUGAUUAUCACCUAGACAUGAUAUCCUAGACAGGACGGUGAAUUGUAAAAAGAGUAAUCUUGAUCAAAGAAUGUCCUAAUGAAACGGAACAUUUUUGGUACGUGUAGAGCAAAAUAUAGAAAACAGUAGAGUAGUUGUACGAUUGAAACUGCAUCCAUCGACGUGGUGCAUGAAUUGUUGAGCCAACACUGUGGACAUGUCUUCAUGAACACCAUCUAGUGAGGACAGCAUGCAGAAAAAUAUAAAAACAUGUCAUAGGGAGGCAGACCAAUCUUGCGAGGUAGACGAAACGUGAUACACGAUCUGCCUACCUUGUCGUGUGGAUACCCCAAGUGAAGAUGUCAUAGAGGUGCAGACCAAGCUAGCAAGGAGGUAGAUGAAACGUGAUACACGGCCUGCCUACCUUGCCGUGGAUAUUAGUCCUGAUAUCAUUCUAUUGUUCAAGGAAUAACACUCAAUGCUGCUGCUGCUGCUGACCUGGCUCCAUAAAGUUAUAUUCCUCUAGCCGCUUGCACUAACUUUAUCUGAAGUAUUAUUCUCUCUGCACUGUAUAUAUGGUUACGGAGUUUGCUGGAGUAUCCGGGGGGAAGAACCUACAUAAUAUGUCUUGGAACUAACUGACAUUGAUUCACAGACAAGGUGCUGUUGUUGACAUGGUACAGUAAAUAAUAUAGUUUACCAUAUACCGUAUACCAUUAUAUGUUAGCUAAAAUAAGAGCAUAACAUGUCGCAGGAGUCCAAAAGCACCGGUUGAGGACCAGGUACAUUAAAUUACUAGAAAACAAAAGGGGACAAGGUUUAGGUAGCCACAUGAAAAACAUUUGAAUUUACUGUACCAUGAACACUUAGUUACCAUGCCGGGAGCACCUAGUUAACACUAACAUUUAGCCACUUUAGAUCAUCCCGAAACACCAAUGACCCUCAAUAGCGACAAAUUUUGGUUUAAAUGCCGUCACCAAUGAUCCUCAAUAGUGACGUGUUUAGGUUUAAAUCCCAUCACUAAUAACCCUUGGUAGUGACGUGUUUUGGUUUAAAUCUCAUCACCACUGAUCCUCACUAGUGACGUGUUUUUAGCAACACACGUUAUGAAUGACUUGUCAUUGGUGACAUGUUAAACGCGUUAUCUCAAUGGCAAAUCAAUGGUGACGUGUUUAAAAAAACAUGUCACUGUGAGAGUUAUUGGUGAAGGGUAAUUAAAAUGCAUCACUAAUUUUGUAGCAUUAGUUAUGAUAUAAUUUUGUAACGCAAAAAUCUACCAUAGUAAUGAGGUUUAGAGCCAUCACUAAUGUGGGUUUCUUAUCGUAGUGAUGCAAGCUCUACAAGGUGCUGUUGUUGCCAUUUUAAAGCAUCCCAAAUGACUACAAGAGUCCGGUUGAGGACUAAACAAAUUGAAUUACUAGAACCAAAUGUAUGUCCAGAACAAAGAAAGGGGUCAAGGUUUGGGUAACCGCAUUAAAAACAUUGAAUUUUACUGUACCAUGAACACUUAGUUACCAUUACCAUGCCUUGAGCACCUAGUUACCACAAACAUUAAUUUAGCCACUUUAGAGGUUCCACAAUCACUAUAAAUAAUAUACCAACACCGUACCAUGAAAACAUCAAGAAGAGAGACGGGUACAUGGACCACCAUCAAGUGAGUAGUGACAGCACGCACAAGAAUACCCGGAACCUUUUAGCUUGUCUGUAGUGAUCUGUUUUCUUCGCCACAAAUAAUGAAAGAGGCUGACCAAGCUAGCAACGAGGUAGAGCAAACGUGAUACACGUAGGUUUCAUUCAAGACAUCCAUGUAAGAUUCAUUCAAAACAUUCAUGGAAAUUUCUUGUAAGUUUUCAUGUAAAUUUCAUUCAAGACAUUUGUUAGAGGUGUUGUAUAUACACUUAACGUACAUAUAUCUAUGAUUUCAUGGUUGUUAGUGAUGGCAGAUGAGGAGCAUGCAAGGUGUUUAAUGGAGCAGAUUAUUGCUAGUGGUAGUGGCUCCAACCUGCCCGUAACGUACACCGACGAAGAGGGCAGCCAGGCGGACAUGUUCCUCAACAUGUCCGGUGAUGGCAAUGAAGAGCCCGAGCAAAACCUUGCCGUGACGGAAGGUUCCAUCGAGGUAUAUAUCAUUUCCAUUAUUUUACCCCAUCUAUAAUUUCAUAUUCAUUAUUACUAUGUGCUAAUUAAUGAAUCUUGAACCGUUAGUCCUCUAGAUCAACGAACCGAAAUAAGCCCCGAGGUCUUACAAAGAUAAUGCAGGGAAGGCUUCACAUCAUGGAAGUCACAGAAGAGGGCACAUCGGUUGCUCCCGAACAUGUGGCAAGAAAGUACGUGAGUCAAACCGGGGCAAUCGUAAGGGACAACAUGCCCAUCAGCAUCAGGGAAUGAAAGAGCAAUAGAAAUGAUCUAUACGCACCCCCGGAUACACAAAAGGAUAUGUUGUGGGCAAAUAUCAAGAAACACUUCACAUUUCCCAAAGGAUAUGUUGAAAAAUAUGUGAAAGCGUGGAUGUUGAAGAAGAUGGCCACCCAAUUCCAGACAUUCAAGAAGAUGUUGGAUGCCAACUUCAUCAAGAAGGGUCGAACUCCGGGUUUCAAUGAGUGGCCAAAGUUAAGGGACCACUGGGAGUCGUUUGUCGAAUACAAGACGAGCGAAGGUGGUGCGAGUAAGGUUCACAUCAAUGUUGCCAAUGCUAGCAAGGAGUACCAUCAUCAUCUAGGGCGACGUGGUUACAGCUCUGCAAUUCCCAGAUGGCGCAAGAUGGAACAAGACCUGAUCGAUCGGGGUAUCGUACCAGCAACUCUUGACUGGAUCGAUUGAAAAAUUGGUAUUAUGCUCAUGAAGGCAAUCUGAGCCAAGAGGAUCCGACAUUGGUCUUCAAUAAAACAAUACGUCAGAAGGUCGGAAGGCUUAUUAGGAACAUUGAAGAUGCUAAAGCUGGGAGGUUCAAGGUGGAUAGAGAGAAUGAUGAACUCACAUUGGCCCUCGGGACUGUCAUCUCUAGCACUUCCAGCUCCAGGACUAUCGUCACCACCGGGACCGUCGCUUCCUGCUCGAUCACAGUCUCCAUCUCCAGCACAUCCUGGUGGUGCGAGCGACGACGACAACAACACCCCUCCCUGCCCACCAUUGCCGGGACUAAGACCCGCAUUGAGUAAGGAACCUGCAACACCACUGAAGAAGUCGCGACCACCACCUUCAAGGCAAGUCAGCAAAAGAAGAAAGCAGAGAAGCCUAAACCCACUGAGAAGCCAGCGACUGAUAUGACCGAUGCGGAAAGAUGGAAGGCACUCAAAGAAGAAUGCAGGGAGUGGUUCAGCGAAGGCGAAGGUGAGAAAGUCGUAUGAAUCGAAUUCAAGGAUAUAUAUGAAGUGAACCAUCAGGAUGCCCUUGAUGUCUCUCUCAUCAGCGCCUAGGUUCUGUAAGUGUAUGUUUAUCUAUAAGUAAAUUUUGGCUCAUAUCAUUAUUUUUUUUGCGUGCGUCACCCUACUAACUUCGUCUUCCAUUUUAUGUAGGAUGCUAAUUCAGACGUGCCGCAUAGAAGCGUACUUCCAUGUUGGAUUCAUGGAUCCAUCCCUAGUUAACCAAAAGCCGAUACGGAAGUAGCUAGAGAAAACGUUGGAGGUGGUGUACAACCUCCUGGACAAACUAAACUACAGAAUAGGGGCAAUAUGUGAGGGUCUUGUAGGAUUCCUAGUGGACGAGGUGAUAAAUCCAUAAGGAGAAUAUCAUUCCAACGGACGAGCAUUAGACACACUGAGCAACACCUAGAUGGGAGGAUCCUAGGAAUGACCUCGACAGAUUUUGGUAUAAAUAGUAAUUGUGUAAAUACUAGUUUGAUUUGUAUAGGAAUAUACUAAGAAUUGUAUAUAUAGUAAUUGUACAAAUACUAGUUUGAUUUGUAUGAAUACUAGAUUGAUUUUAUUAUAAAAAAGUUUUAAGUCGUACGUGCAUGCGCCUACAAAGGCGCGGAUGCCUUUUAAUCCCAGUCGGAAAAACAAACUGGUACUAAAGGGGCUCGUGCCGCACCUGGCAUGACCACCCCUUUAGUCCCGGUUGAACGACCCAGGACUAAAGAUCUCCGCGUCUCAAAAAUUUUAUCUCGGAUGCUUUUUAGAGAGAUUUGAGGCCUAUCAACCAAGACUAAUAUCGAGUUUUCUACCAGUGAAACUAACUAACGUUCACAUGGUUUUGACAUUCACCUGCCAUUUGGUGUAGACAAGGGCACCCUAACAUAUGGUUAAUAUUAUUCUUGAAAGAAAAUCCUUUGAUUCAAAAUACUUCAAACCUAAUAAUACAAUACUUCUCACAUCUGAAAAAUAUGAGACGGCCCGACAGUAUUCUAAUCGACGCAAUAAUAUUUUGAGGGCAGCACUACUACAGCGACCCUCAUUCGUGCCGGUGCUGGGACUCCUAUCACGACCCUGAUACAAAUGAGGGUACAUUAUUGGUGCCAGUGCUAGAACAGCCACGAAUAACUUGCUAAACGUGCUGUUACACUCACUACAGGGACCAAGAAGGUAGAUAAAUUACACGACAUAGCCUUGGUUGCCGUGGAAGCGCCAAGAAGGGAGACAAAUUACAGGGACCACACCAUCAAGUAGAUAGUGACAAUAUGCAAAAGAAUACCCGCGCCUGUUAGCAUGUGAACUGACCACACCACGAAACGUGAUACACGGCAAGCGUACCAAGGCCUUGCUGUGCAGACUAUGCAUGGACAACACAUGGUACCUGACCGCUUUUGGCCUCAGACACAUCGAAAAACUGCAUCGUUCCACGUUGUACAUCCAUUGCUAGUUUAUCUAUAUUACAUAAUAUAUUAUUAGCUAUUUGAAUAGAAUGAACCAAUUAAAAAAUUGCGUUGUAUUUUUAGUACCGGCUGCAGGAUGGUGUUACCAACCAGUACUAAUUGGCCUGUAGGAGUGAUGGUUAUUAGACUUGGUACUGUUGUUAGCAUCAUUAACCUAAUUGUGCGCCGUAUGAAUUUGGGGAUGCAAAGCUAGCUCUCUAUGAAUGUGAGGGAUGGAAAGCUAGUUCUCUAGUAGUAAUUAUAUAUAUGACAGUCAAGAAAUCGAACACUAUGCUGCUACGAGUCACCAUCAUUUCCUUCAUUGACAAUCUGACAUAGGUGAAGCUGCUUCAAUAAUUUCCUUCGCGCAGUCGUGGAGCUUAUUGGAUUAUCACCAGGACGGGACACGGAAAUGGCCAGCAAUGAAGCUGAUUGCCGUCUGAGGAAGACUACAUACUUACCUAUGAAAUGAAGCGAUUGCAUAGACUAAUGAAGCAUUGCAUAUUUGCAUGUGAGUGUGGCAGAUAAUUCUGCAGGACAUGAUUGCAAUCCACGCACCAUCGAGAAGACUGGGGCGAUGGGGUUGCCUCAUCAAUAAUCACGUGGAUGCAUGCAUGCAUGUUCCCGCAACCGGACAAGGGUCUGAUAUAUGGCUAUAGUAUUACUGAGCCCACAUCAAUAAUUUCCACUGGUGUAUCGUGUGGGAAGAAUCAACAUACUACACCUCGAGUUCUUGGAACUAACUGACGUUCACAUGCAACCUCCACAAGGUGCUGUAUGCUUUUGACAUUCACCUGCCAGUUCGUGUAGAGAAGGACACCCUAACGUAUAGUUAAUAUUAUCCAUUUCAUGAGUAAAAUACUGUGAUUCAAAAAUACUUCAAAUCCCUUGAGACAAUACUUCUCACUUGACUAACCACUAACCAACCCCGAAACCCUAACUCAACUCCGAACCCUAACCCCUAACGGCAUAACCACUCCGUUUUGCCGGCGAGAUGGAGGAACUGGCUGGAAGGUAGAGAGGGCAGCGGUCCAGGGUUGAAAACGACGGGCGAGCGCAGUAACAUGUGGAGGAGGAAGUGCCACGUAUUCGUUCACCGCUAUUGGGCAGCGACACACGACACGCCCAAUAAGAUCUUCGCACGGUAGAAGGACGUCAUGUAUUCAAUAAUGUUAUUGGUCCCCCAUGUGCAGAAGGGCGCGCGCGUAUGGAAUAACAAGUAGGGACACUGCAACUAAUCUACUCUGCUCGUCCAGUCCCUAGCCUAUAAAUAGAUGCCAUGCUAGCUCUUGUUGUGCUCACAAUUAAUCCGAUUACACACGAGCUUCUCUCCCUGGCCAAGACACAACCAUAGUAUGAUGAAGAACAUGGCACUAGCCGGCAAUGGUAUGAAGAAGUUAAUCCUCGCUGUUCUCUUACUGUGUCUAGUUAUAGGGCAGAUACAAGUGGAAGCUAAGAGCUGCUGCCCAUCCACCACUGCAAGAAAUGUCUACAAUACCUGCCGUUUCACGGGUACAUCCCGUCCAACGUGUGCAAAACUGUCAGGCUGCAAAAUUAUCAGCGGGAACAAAUGCAAGCCCCCUAACGACCACCUCACCCUUGACCCGGACACUGGUAAAUAAUAAAUUUAUCUCACUUGAUUUCUUCGUGAUUUGAGUCGUUAAUGUAUUUUCCAUCUGAUGAAACGUAUUGGUUUUGCAUUGAAGAGGAAGUUAAUGUGCUUAACUUCUGCAAGUUGGGGUGUGCGUCGUCUGUGUGCAACAACAUCAACGCUGGUAAGCAACUUUUGCUCAGACAGAGAAAACAAUAAUCAUUAAUUAGCGGCAGCUAGAAUCCUAUAAUCUAAUAUAUAUAUAUAUAUAUAAUUUUAUCAGCUCUGGGAAAUGAAGAGGCGAACGAUGCCGUUGAGAGUUGCGACCAAGCCUGCUCUAGCUUCUGCAGCGUGCAUGUUGGCAGCGCCACCGUGGUUGCUUAAGCAAAUGCAUCCAACUAGAUCGUCCUUGUGCUGAAUAAUUGGAUAUCGUAUCCACUUAAAGCUGCCUUGUGUAGUACGUCUUUGUGUCUCUCUUUAUAUUCCAAUAAGGUCGGUGAUCUUGAUGCCACACACUCAGAUGUGUGUUCAUCUCCAGAUACUACUCCAUGCUACCUGCCCUUUGUGUUUUGUUCAAUAACUGGGUAUCAUAUCCCAGCCAGUAUGCCGUCUGUUUUGUGUUUGUUUCCUUCUAGUUCCAAAGGGGUCAUCAUGAUGUUACCUUCUUUCAAUAUGGUGCUUUGCAUGACUACUGUUGUAUGGUACCAUCUUGUGGCCAAUAAGUACAUCUUAUCCUAUGACCUUUGCUAUGACCCUUUGCAAAUAAGUAGAAGAUUGUUAUAAGCGUCAAUACUCCGUAUAAAUUGAUCGCUGCUGUGAGUUCCCUUUCAGCUUAUCGUAGGCAUACAUUAUUGCUAGCACGGUAAAGCCAACCAACACGAAUGAUGAAGUAAACGUAGCGGUACUUCUGUAUACCAACACCCUUACUUAAAUGUACCGGUGUCAUUCCCUACUGGCACAUAUAUUCUUAUAUGCUAGCCAGCUUGUAAAAUUAACCAAUUAAAAUAAUUAUUUCAAGAUAGAAAUAACUUAUCGGUUUCUGGAAGCAUGUGUAAUGUGAAUUCAAGGACUCGACGGAAGUUGAAUCACUUCAUCUAUAUUGCUUUCAGUAUUUUGGGUAACUAAAUUUAACAUUUGCACAUACAAAUGUUAAAGUACAAAUGUUAAAUCUAGUUACCCAAGCAGAAUAUGAAGAUAGUUUAUAGUAUAUAUAUACUAUAUAAAUCUAGUUAACAUUUAGUCUAAAUGUUAAAUCUAGUUACCUAAAAUCCUGAAAGCAAAAUGUAUAAAUAUAUAUCUUUUAAGGCAGUAUAAGCUUCGAUUCCUAUUGCUGCUCUGUUAAAUCUCAUCUUUCGUUGUGGCCCAACACUCUAGUAUGCAUGUUGCACCAAGCUUCUUUGAGCCGCUCUGCCCUCUGAUUUUGCUGCGUAGGGGAAUCUUUAUCAGGUUGGGCUACUUCCAGUUGUGCGAUGUAAAGAUUCGUAUUUUCUAGAAGGUAGACAAAAAACUCGCGUUCUCUUAAGGCAACAACCGGAAGAUUCUGCAGCGCACAGGGCAUACCAUUAUUGUAGAAACGACCUUUAGUACCGAUCUCCAACCCCCUUUAAAACUGGUUUUGCAACCGGUACCGUUAUGUCGGUCCUUUAGUACCAGAUCAAAUAAGUACCGGUUGGUAACCAGUAUCAACUUGUUUUGCGGCCAAAAAAAUAAAGAAAAAAACAGUCAGAAGGCUCGCACACACGCGCAUCACAUGAAAUAUGCGUGUGCGGGGUCCAUGGGAUUCGAACCCAUGAAAUCAAGCUGCACGCGACCCUUCGUUACCAUCUCACCUACAUAGCGCAUAUGCUUUCCUGAAGUAACCCGUGGAGGAGGCUUUAGUACCGGGUCAUAACACCACCCGGUACUAAAAAUGACUCUUCAGUACCGGGUCAUAACACCACCUGAUACUAGUAUCGGAUGGUGUAAUGACCCGAUACUAAAAGGCCUCUAGGGACCCUCAAAUUUGAACCCGGUACUAAUGCUAAUAUUAGUAGCGGGUCAAAGUGCAGCCAGAACUAAAGCAUGGGAUGAAAGGUCAUAUUUCUAGUAGUGUAUAGUUGUUGUGAAGGACUGACUUGGCUGUCCUCUCUCUUCUCCAUCCCCUUGGUCUUACGCCGCCGCUCGCACGCGAGCCGGUGCCCAACCAGAGGAGUGAGAGCUAGGGGCAGGUUGGGAGGUGGGGAUAGUGACUGGUGGCCAGGGUGAUGGUUGAUCCUGGUGGGGUUAGGGUUUCAGGGUUUUCGAGCUUCCUAUGGUCGGCGAACCUAGAGGAGAAGCUCAACAUCAGCUGCAACCCGCGAUGGUGGUGGUUUGGCCGGCGCCCGAGGCGAGGCAGCGCGGGAGUGCUGCCGGUGGGUUGGUGUUGGCACUCAUUAUUGACAACUAUUUUGUUCAUAAAAUAACACUCAAACUUGCUGCUGCUGCUGCUGCCAUCGCCACCCUAGCCAUAAUAUAAAGGCAAAAUUUGCUAAAGGACAUGCAAAAUGAUGCUAGUUUGCUGGCGGGCAUCGUUGACCUUGUAAUAUGCUACAAGACACUCUAGUUGUGUAUCAAUUUGCUGAAAGACAUUGCUAUGACUAAAAUAAUGUUUCUGGACUGAGUUGGAGAGAGAGAUGGAGUGAAAUGUCUGUUUUGCCCAUGACCCCACUGGUCAGAUCCUUCUUCUUCCACCCUCCUUUGUUCUUUCUUCAACCAUUACCCAGCUCCAGCGUGUUGCAGAUCUACGAGGGUGGCGGCCUGGGGCGAGGGGCAUCGCUCGCCCUUGGAGGAGCGCUGCGAGCGACGGCGCGGGGGCGGCAACAGCGCGUCAGAACCUGACUGUUCGUUAGCUCCUCUCGCUGCUGGGGAAGAAGGAGGGGGAUGGGCCAUGGACGGGGUUCCCUUGAAAACCUCAGCGUCGAGCUCGGGCGGCUACGCGCAGGCAGCACUAGGCUGCUUCACGGGGAGGGGGCGCGGCCAAUCAUUGGCACCCCACUGGUCCAAUGCUGAUGAAGAUGGUGCCAGCGUCGUGUGAGGACAUCUCAUCUCCUCGAGUUCCAUGGCCAGCACAGGUGAGCUGCCGCUACCACAAAACAGAGGUUUCGUGAGAGUCAAAAAACCUUAUGAAAAUAGCUAAAACCAUCAUGAAAAUAAUCCGUGACAUGACACUCUCACGAAAAUCCUCUCACAAAUAUGGUGCCAUGAAAAUACCAUUUUCAUGAGAGUGAACUGUCAUGAUUUUAUAAGCGUCAAUACUCGGUAUAAAUUGACUACUGCUGUGAGUUCCCUUUCAGCUUAUCGUAGGCAUACAUUAUUGCUAGCACGGUAAAGAGAACCAACACGAAUGAUGAAGUAAACGUAGCGGAACUUUUGUAUACCAACACCCUUACGUACCGGUGUCAUUCCCCACUGCCACAUAUAUUCUUAUAUGCUAACCAGCUUUGAAAAUUAAGCGAUUAAAAUAAUUAUUUCAAGAUAGAAAUAACUUAUCGGCUUCUCGAAGCUUGUGUAAUGUGAAUUCAAGGACUCGAUGGAAGUUGAAUCGCUUCAUCUAGAUUGCUUUCAGGAUUUUGGGUAACUAAAUUUAACAUUUGCACACACAAAUGUUAAUGUACAAAUGUUAAAUCUAGUUACCCAAGCAGAAUAUGAAGAUACUCUAUAGUAUAUAUGUACUAUAUAAAUCUAGUAAACAUUUAGUCUAAAUGUUAAAUCUAGUUACCUAAAAUCCUAAAAGCAAAAUGUAUAAAUAUAUAUCUUUUAAGGCAGUAUAAGCUUCAAUUCUCUGUUAAAUCUCAUCUUUCGUUGUGGCCCAACACUCUAGUAUGCAUGUUGCACCAAGCUUCUUUGAGCCGCUCUGCCCUCUGAUUUUGCUGCGUAGGGGAAUCUUUAUCAGGUUGGGCUACUUCCAGUUGUGCGAUGUAAAGCUUCGUAUCUUUUAGAAGGUAGACAAAAUACCCGCGUUCUGGAAGAUUCUGCAACGUGCACGUUGGCGCUGCCACCGUGGUUGCUUAAGCAAAUGCAUCCAACUGAAUCGUCCUUAAGCUGAAUAAUUGGAUAUGGUAUCCACUGCUUAAAGCUGCCAUGUUUAGUACGUCUUUGUUUUUCUCUCUUUAUAUUCCAAUAAGGUCGGUGAUCUUGAUGCCACACACUCAGAUGUGUGUUUAUCUCCAGAUACUACUCCAUGCUACCUACCCUUUGUGUUUUGUUCAAUAACUGGGUAUCAUAUCCUAGCCAGUGUGCCAUCUGUUUUGUGUUUGUUUCCUUCUAGUUCCAAAGGGGUCAUCAUGAUGUUACCUUCUUUUGAGGUGUCUAUGAUGACUUCGUUAAUAUCAAUAUUAACCAAUUCAAUCUGUCUUAACUAUUUGUAAGGGGUAUGAUGUAUGCAUGAUUAUAACAAUGAUUGCGCAUACAAUCGCCGCCAAAGAAACGGUCAAUACCAUUAAGACAUAUUACAGACAAUUCUCAUAAUCUAUAAUGAAUAUACAUAUUCACUACUGCAGAAGACUGUCAUUUGUAUCGGCUCAUACGUGCCAGGGCAAAGGUCACCCUUGCAUUAAGUACAUUUGCACGGUAAAGACAACCAACACGAAUAAUGAAGUAAACAUGCCGGUGCUUUUGUACACCAACACGCUUACUUAAAUGUACUGGUGUCAUUCCUCACCGGUAGCCGGCUUGAAAAUUAACCAAUUAGAACAAUUAUUUAUUGUAUCGGUGUGAUUUUUGACCUAUUGGAAUAUGAAUUUGACCGUUACUGCAUUCGUCAAGACUCAAGAGAGAAAUAACUGAUCGGCUUCUUAGAGCGUGUGCAAUGUGAAAUCAAGGACUGGAUGGAAGUUGAAGCGCUAGCACUAGUAGAGAAACGACUUUCCAUCCACCCCCUUUUGUCCCGGUUUAAAGUUGGCUCGGGAUAAAAGGUUCACCAACCGGGACUAAAACUCAGUCACUGGUGGGAGGCUCACCAACCGGAACCUUUUAUCCCGGUUGCAAAGGCUAAUGGGAAAAAAAGACUCUGAGAGGCCUUUUAUCCCGGUUUGAAACACCAACCGGGAUAAAAGACCCCCCUUUUAUCCCGGUUGGUAACACCAACCGAGAUAAAAGGGUCAAGAGCCUUUUAUCCCGGUUGGAAACACCAACCGGGAUAAAAGACCCCCUUUUAUCCCGGUUGGUGUUUCAAACCGGGAUAAAAGGGCCCCCACGAGGUGACUGGAAGGUGACUGGAAGGGGAUUAAAUCGUGGGGGACCCUUUUAUCCCGGUUGGAAACACCAACCGGGAUAAAAGGGGGUCUUUUAUCCCGGUUGGUGUUUCCAACCGGGAUAAAAGGGUCCCCCACGAGUUAAUACAAAAGGAUAGUAUCCCCUACAUAGUCAGAUGUGGUGUGUAGGUGGGAUGGUAAGGAAGCUACGCGCGAGCUCCGGAAUUUUUUUUUUUUUUUUUUGCAGCGUCGGCGCUCUCUACCCUUUUAUCCCGGUUGGUAUUACCAACCGGGAUAAAAGGGGGUCUUUUGUCCCGGUUGAGUGACCCGGGAUAAAAGACCCCCCCUUUUUUCCCCGGUUAGUUUAUCCCGGAUGCAUUUUCGGGAUAAAAGCACCCUACCAACCGGGAUUAAAGCUCACUUCUCUACCAGUGUAGCUUCAUCUUCCGCUGCAAGUUAAUUGCUUGGAUAAGAAGUUGUAGCCGCUGCAAGUUAUAAAUAGUCCCGCUGAUGCUGUGCUCCGAAGUCUAUACUAUAUAUGCGGAAACUAGAUUGCUUUCAGGAUUUUGGGUAACUAAAUUUAACAUUUGUACAUAAAAAUGUUAGUUUACGAAUGUUAAAUCUAGUUACCCAAGCAGAACAAGAAGAUAGUAUAUAGUAUAUACUAUAUAAAUCAAGUUAACAAUUAGUCUAAAUGUUAUAUCUACUUACCCAAAAUAUUGAAAGCAAAGAAAGAAUAAGUAUAUAUCUUUUGUUGGAAAAUUGGUCCACGGAGAGGCCCAUUUAGGCCUCGUUCGUUUCACCGGGAUGGGAUUCCAGUCAGGAUUACUUCCAAGUUCGGUUUGAGUGAUUCCACCCGUGUCACUCAAUCCGGCUAGGAUUCAUUCUAUGGGUGAGGAGGUAUGGUUUCAAUCCAGGCCAUCUAAUGUAGAAGGAUUCCAAUCCAGGCCGGUUUUCGUUCCAGGCCAGACUAAAACGAACAACACUUUCAAUGCAAGUCUGGUUUCAAACCGGGCCAUUUCAAACCACCCGGAAUGGACCUCGUUCCAGGCCAAUCCGGUGAAAACAAAUGAGGCCUUAAUGGAAUCCCAAAGCAAGAGUUCAGUGGCAUUCUAUAGUCCCAUGCUGCUAGUUUGAGUUGGUCGAAGCCAACUUAAAUAGGAGAGCUCUCUCACUUCUCUAAAUACGUAACUGAAGGAGAGAAGGGGGCUUGGGUUACACAACGCACGCACGCACGCAUAUUUGCGUUCUUUUCGCGUAACCAACCGCGUGACUUGAAACUUGCGACGUAGCGUGCUGCUAAGUCAAGUUGAUAUAACCUUUUUGCCGUUUGCAUGUAAUCUUUUGACAACGGUCAUUGGAGGUGAUAAGCACGCAGUCAAUACCUUAAUCUUGAGUUAAUAGGGUGGUUACUACUGCCAAUUAGUGGGGCAAUUUUGUAGGGGAAACGGUUAGCAGAGGGCUACCGUCUUCUCUAUAAGAAGUUCUGGAGACGUCCAGGAACACACAUGUACAUGUGAGAGACCCACAAAUUCCUUCCCUUCUCCCUUUUCCAUGUGGUGAAGUGUGCUGUGGUACUGAGCUGCUUGAUCUCGCCGCUCUUCUCCUUGGCAUGCACCGAGGAGGAGGGUGAGCGGUAUCUCCGAGCUAUUGCCGUCAGGAAGCCUGCACGAGGGACAACAAAAAGUUUUUGGGUAGCGCAACUGCCAGCACAACUCUCCCUCCGCCUCUUCUUCACGGUUGAUGGCCACCACAAGCAUAAACCUCGCCUUCGCAUCCACGCAAAAGGGUCGCUGGGGUGCCUUCUUGCAUCGCUUCUCAGCCUCCUUGACUUGCGGCCAGCCAAGAACUGCGCCACCACCUCGGGUGCACGCCACCACUCCAGGGCUGCUACCCCAUGCCUGCGGCCGCCGCCGGCCACCACGCGUGUGCAACCGCGUCGCACCGCUUCCUUGCUUUGUGCCACCACUGCUGCUGUACCACCAGCUCCACCACCUUGGGCUGGUCGCCAGAGUGACUGAUAACUUAUUAUCUGUAACUACUAUUAACUCAGGGAUACAUGCGUCUUUUGCUUCUCCUACUAAUAUGUCCUAAAAUAUCUAGGAUGCCUUAUAUUUCUGGACAGAGGAAGUAUUUGAAUAAAAUGAACCAAUUUAAAAAAAUGUGUUGUACACUACUACAGAAAGACCUAUCAGUGUCAAACCCAAAAAUGUUGUCACCGCCAGUUUUGGGCAUCAUUGGUGAAAGGUUGGCGGUGAUGGGCUUUCCCUUCAACAACGGCACUGGAGCCGACGGUGAUUGACAUUAGAAAACAAAAAAGGGGACCCUACCUAGCCACCCCUGCAACCCGGCCGGCCGUGCCUCCCCUCAUCCCCACCACCUCGCCUCCCCAUGACCCCCCGCCGGCGCCCUUGCGCCUAGCCCCCUCAACUGCCCAGCCGGCCACCCUCAUCACGAGAGAGAGGUGCAUGUUGUAUAAUUGCGUGAAUUUUUUAAUGUUUAAUUUCAUGUAAGUUCCGUGUAAUAAAUUGUACAAGUUUUAUUGUAUAUAUGAAUUCCAUAUAUAUAUAUAUAUAUUUAUAAUUUAAUGUAUGGUUUCAUGUGUAUAUUUCAAUCAUGUGUAUAUUUAGUAGAUUGCCGAUUUUCUUUUUCUACUAGACAAGGGUUGAUGUAUAAUUACGUGUAUAUGUUUAUUGUACGGGCAAUUAGGACAAGUUUUGUAUAAAUUUCUUUUAUUUGAUGGUUGUUGUAUGGUUUCAUGUAUAUACAUUUAUUGUACUACUUUAGACAAUUUUUAAUUUAAUGUUUCUAUGAUUAGAUGUGUGUAUAACUAAUUGUAUUAUUAGUUAAGAUGGGAGCUAAAGAGGAUGAAAGGUAUAUAAUGGAGCAGAUUAUUGCUAGCUCAAACGUUGCAAGAACCUACACCGAGGGUGAGGGUAGCUAGGUGGACAUGUACCUCAACAUGUCCAGUGAUGGCAAUGACGAUGAGGAGCACGAGCAUGACAUCUAUGAUAAUGCGGAACAAGACAUUGCAGAAUUGGAAGGUUCUAAUGAGGUGUGCUUCAUGUUGACAAUCUAGUUGGCUUUUUUUCGUUGGUCACACCUUAGUUACCAUAGAACUUCGUCUCGGGAGAAGAUUGGUGGUGGUAUGGUGAUUGGAAUUUUAUUUCCACGAAAUCUGAUUUCCAUCGAAUCAUAUCCCUUGUAUUUAUCUUCUUUUUAUUUGUGAGAGCAUCUUCUUUAUGCUUGCAAAACAAUUCAAGUGCACAUACUACCCCUAGGGUGACGAUUGGGAGUAGAAAUAAUUGCCAACAAAACAACACCACAUCCUAAGAUUCUUAACUUGUGGCAUAAUUAGUCUAGUAAAAAGAAAGAUAAAAACCUAAUGGGUGUAUGUGAGUGCAAUGUGUAUAUGCAUAUGAGUGGAAGGCAUAUAAGCAAAGACAAUAUUUACACAUAGUUCUAAACACCAUGUUUACAGCUAGGUUGCUGAAUUUCUCCAUAGCCAUAGAGAUUAAUUAACCAAGGUCAAAACACGAUGUCUAUCCCAAGAUCAGUAAUUAUUUAUAGCACAAGAAAAAGAAAGCGCAUUGCAAAGUUUAUAAACCAACCAAUACAGCAUGAAAACAAGAUGAAUAGCUAGCAAGGUUUAUUAAACUGAAUGAUGACGGUCUGUAAGCAAGUUUAAACACCAUCUUUACACAAGAUUGCAAAUGGAAAAUGCCCAUAUGAAGCACUAACAUGGAUAUGAAAUCAUUCAUCAUAAAGCGUAAAGAACAACCAAGCCAACCAUAUGCAAAGCAUGAAUGGAAUGCAAUGAAGGUGCAAGAGAACAUUUUUGGAUGAACACAUUAUGAUGAUGGCAAAAUGCAAUGCAUGCAGAAAAAAUAAAUAUGAACAUGAAUAUGAUGAUCAGGGGCGGACCCACUAUUGUGGCCUGGGUAUUCCUCGGCAUACCCAAUAUUUUUGGGAAAAUGUUUAGUAGUUUUUAAUGGCAUAUACAUGUAUAAUAUAGUUUAGGUGUUAAAAUUGAUAUUCACAGCUAUUUUGGGCUCCAAUUCGCGUCCAAACCAACCUGGCCCACAGACCGCACCCGGCCGCCCGGCCCAUCGGCCCAUCUUGUCACUGAUCCUCCCACCACCACACUCAGCCCGUCAGUUAGUCAGGUCCCGAGCUCCUGCCUGACCUAGUCCGCUACCACCGCCAGGCGCCAGGCACAGCUGUACACGCCGCCCCCGUCCACCCACGUCCGCCGCACGGCCGCGUCGCGCCCCCCCCCGGCGCCCGCUGCUGCCAGAACCCAUUAGGCCUCCACCGGCAAGUCCACCCACAGUCCCGCGCGACGCGGCAGCCUCUUGGCUCUCGGCGCUCGCGGCGCGCCAAUGCCUGCGCAGCCCCAGCAGGCGACUGCCCCCCCCCCCCCCGCAUCGGGCCUCGGCCCCUCCCCAGCUCCCCCUCCCCCCUCCACCAGGACUGCCUGCUGGCCCCCACCGCGAGGUAAUCGAAAUGGACUGCUCAAUCUCUCAAUCUGUUGACAUGAUGCACACGGUUGCAAAAAUAGAUGUGUCAAAAUAGAUGUAUUGCCAAUUGCUAUAGAUGCAUAUGGUUGACAUGAAGAAGUCAAAAAUGACAUUUGGUUCCUUGUAGGCAGUCAAAAAUGAAGAAGUCAAACAAUAUUGAUCUGAAAUCAAUGCGGGAAAGGGCUACGAAGACACACGGGUAGAUUCCCUUGUGAACUUUUUAUGUCGUUCGUCUAAAUAUAUUUUUGCAAUGGGCAUACCCUACUCUGAAAUCCUGGGUCCGCCACUGAUGAUGAUGGUCUAAACAUAAAACAAGCCUAGAUUAAUUAGCUACAACUGAAAUUAAGCAAAGGUUAAUGUCAUUGACCCUAGCUCUAUCCUAGCUUUUACUAAAGUCCCGGCACAUAUAGUGGUUGGGCCCACUCUCUCUACUUCCCUCUCUGCUGCAUGCACACACACGAGCAACUGGAGGCCCAACAAAGCCCAGAAGGGUUCGGCCGAACCCGUCCGAUCCAGUCUGAGCGCCGCUCCCUCCCAGCCUUCGCGCAGAUGCUCCUCCAACGUUCCUUGACCCCUCCCUCAGUGUCCCAUUGGGUUUAACAUUGUAGGAGAGGAGUCCCUUUUUUAAAAUCUCAACCACCUCCUCUCCUCAUUCACUCCACUCUCAUCUCCAUCAAACUCACCAAGAUCCACAUCGGAAAUACCUGCUUACCACCAUGGCUGGCAAAGCCCUCGUCCCUUUCACCAACUUGGGCUUGACCAUUGAUCUCGAUGGGAAAAUCACUCCAGCAAAUGUCAUUGUCCCUGUCGGCGAUCUGGCGAUGGAGGAGGUCCAGGCACUAGAGGUCGAGCCCCUAGCCAUCAUACCGCCCAAGGGGUAAAGCAGGAGCAUGACAGGCGCUGCUAGGGGUUCAGCCGAACUCCCAGUUCAGCCAAACGAGGACGGCGUCGCCUCGGCCUCCCGCUCGACUGCAUGCUUCCCCUUGCCAAGGAGGACUCCAGAACAGCGGGCGCGUGCGUCAAGUCCCUACAAAAGGCUGAAAUACAAUGAAUAUCCAGGGUCACCCUUGAAGAUGGGUGAACGCUACGCCGGGUCCUUGUUUGACUAGUACGGCGAUGCAUUCUGCCACCGCUAUGUCGUUGUCGAGAUUAGCGGAUCAAGACUUAGACUAGUAAAUUUCUUUUAUGCGCGUAAGGCUUCAGAUGGUGGCGUGGGAGACAUGGGUUUUAUACUAGUUCGGGCAAUGGAAUACCCUACGUCCAGUGUCUGGAGCUGCUUGUGUUGCCCACGCGGGGUUCUGUAGUAGGGGUUACAGGUGUGCGAGAGAGGGAGCUAAUCCCAGGUCUCUUAGGCGUGUUCCGGUCCUCUAGAUGGGAGAAGUGUGUUCUGUUUGCUUGGGAGUAUCGGUUGUGUCUGAGUUGUCUCCGGAGCCUCCUCCCGUCUCAGGUCCCCGAUUCUCCUUUCAUAGCACAAGGAGACCAUCGGGGUUACAGACGAGACCGAGCGUGGGGAGGAGUAAAGAGAUAAACAUAGCUAGGUAAAAAUACAACAAGAAAGGGGGGAACCAAGUUUCUAGGUCACCGGCGUCCUCGCCGGCCUUCGACUUCCGCCGGCGCAUUUGUCGGAGGAGGGUGGCCGCCAUCGCGUUCUGUCGAUGGCUUCCUCGGUGACUGUAGCCACCGGGCGUGAUGAUGGCAUUUCGUCGUGACCCUUUGUCUGUUGGGGGAGGCGGCGGAUCCUGCCAUUCUGCUGACGGCUCGCGGAGUGCGAACGUCGCAUCCCUGCCGCUGGGCACGCGGGGCGCGAGAACGUGCGAGGCUUCCCCCUACCCCAGGCGGCGCAGGCCAUGAGUGCCCUGUGGCAAAUCGGAGGAGGCCGCAGCUACUGUAGCUUGUACUGUGCAGCCACGUAUGGGUACUUGUGGCAGGUUGCGUGGUGGAUGCGGAUAUCCUUCUCCCUGACAGAUCUGCGGCGCAUUUAUGGCGAGAUCGACAUGGGGACCCACAAGACCCGCGCCCAAGGCGGAUACUUGUCUGGAGGGCCCGGGUUAGCCUGACCCCCUACGCUUGGGGUCGGGCGAGGCGGAGACUUGCGGCGGGGCGUCGGACGCUCCCGACACUAGACCUGCGGUCGCGCAAGGCGGAGCUUGGUCUUCCGGGGGUCGGGGGUGCCGGACCCCAGGAUGCGGGGUCGGGCGAGGUGGAGCGUAAUUCUUGCCUCCCAUGUUGGGCCGAUGGCAGUCUUUGUUACCUCUAGUGGGCUUGGGCCUUUAUGUUUUGUUGUUUCCAUGGGCUUCGAGAGGUCGUUAAUAUUUCCCCCCAACAGUAGCCCCCGAGCCUGUGGUGGAGUGGGGGCGCUCCUCCGGAGGCUACUAUCAUCGCCCCUAGGGAAUCCUCGCAGUUGAUCCGGGAUAGGAGGUGUUGUUUGCACGGCUUGACCGAGGGGGUCGAUUAGGCGACGCAUCCUGUGAGCGACUCGGUGCGGGAGGGUUUCUUGUUGUUCCCUUCUGUCUGAGAGCCUUAAGUCGAGACCACCUGCGUGGCCUUUGGUUGCAAGGCCAGCCCCCGAGCCCCCGCACGUUGCAGGGGACCGGUCGGAGGCUAGGUCGACUUUUGUUCAUUACCCUCAAGCGUCUGUUCGCUAGGACGGAGGGGGCGAGCCGUGCCAUGCUAUCCUCAUCGGACGAACCAUGGUGCUCAUUGAGUUACUAACGGGUUGAUUCGAGUGGGAUCCCGGUCCCCGUUCGGGGGGGGUCCGGCUUGGGCCAAGCUGGUGGCGUACCCCAGGCUCCGGUCGGCCAGUUCAUAUAGUUCCUGAGUCCGUUCGGUCGGACCGGGGGCUCAUUGCCUUUCUUCGGGGAAAAACCAUGAACUUUGAUGCCGGUCCAGACUCGAAUGUGAGAUUGAGACGCCCGGGGCUGUCGCGUGCCCGGGUGAUGGCCGCUAGCGGACCCGUCUCCUCUCACCCCUCACUCGGGGGUAUCCUGAGGCGGCUGUCGAACCCGUGGCGGGCCAGCCUUCGAACCUCUGGAUCGUAAUGGGCCGUAGGGGCGUUUUCAGCCCCGUAUCCCUUUUUACCUUUUGGUGGGCCUUGGGCCGAAUCAUGGAGGAGGUCGGGCCUUGGGCCGGAUGCGGAGGAUGUCGUGCCUUGGGCCGGAUGUGGGGGACGUCGUGCGUGUCUUCCGGGAGACGAAGUGGUGGAGGGUGCCAACCCGCGAAUCGAGGGAGGAGGGGAUGUUUCUACUGCAGGUCAUGCGCACGGUUUCCGAAAAGGCAGCGGGCGUGACGGGACGUACCUCGCGCCGCAUUUAUUGCGAUGGGGGCGUCUGUUCUGCUUCCCUCGUGCCUUCCCUAUAAAACGAGGACUUCGCCUCGCCGGUUCCGCCCGCCAUCUACCUUCAAGCCUUUUCGCCUCCUCGCGCGCCCUUAGCUUUCCUGUGCCCGCUUCGUCUUCCUCCGCCCAGUGCCGCGCCCUUUCUCCCCAUCCGCCGUCGAGUUCUUCUCCCUCCGGCGAUGGGAUCCUGGGCGCGUUCCCACUUCGGCCCCUCACGCGCCGAAGGCCUAGUGAGGAAAGGCCUCCUUUGCGAGAGGACGGAGACGGAUGAGUGGGGGUUCCCUGAGAUGGAAGAGGUGCCGACUCCGCCCACCGGCUACGUCGUUUCCUUUGCCCACUUCCACGAGAGGGGGUUUGCGACUCCGCCGAGCCUCUUCUUCCGCGGGCUUUUGUAUUACUACGGGCUUGAGCUGCAGCACCUCAACCCCAACGGGAUUCAGCACGUCGCGGCGUUCGUUGCGGUGUGCGAGGGGUUCCUGGGCAUUGAGCCCAACUUCUCGCUGUGGAAGUACUUCUUCACGGUCAGCCUAUACCAGAAGGCCGAGAAGAGGGGAAGCCAGCAGCGGUCGACCCCGGUGCCGAUAGGGUGCGUCGGAAUCCACCUCUGCCAUACUCGCGCCAAGGAGUAUAUCGCGAUGAAGACCGCGGCAUCCCACAAGGGGUGGCACCAGCAAUGGUUCUACGUGAAGAACUACUCCAACCCCCCCUGCCGGAGUUCACCGGCCGCAUUAUUGAAGCGGCGCCGGAGGUGUGGGUGUACGGCCCGGUGGAGAAGGAGAAGAAGCGGAUCACCGGCCUGCUGCAGGCCAUCGAGCACCUGAAGGAGAGGGGACUGACCGGAGCCGGAGUCAUCGGGGCGUACCACGCCCGGCGGGUGGCGCCGCUGAUGCUCCGGGUCCGCUCGCUCGCCGACAUGACCCCCGGUGCUCUCACCGAUGGCACUGUCCUCGCGACGGGUGCUCUCGCUGCCUCCGAGAUCCGGCAGCGGAUCCGGGAGGCGCUGGAGGACAAGGACGCCGAUUACCCGGUGCCCGGCCACCCUCCGAUGCGCCCGGACGAGAAUUUCAUUGAUCUGGUAAGGAUUUUGCGCGCCAGUUUCCCUCUCUUGCGUUUCUUGGUAUGCCGUUCUGACGCGAGGCCCUCUGUGUUUGCAGGGUAGCAUGACCCGGGUCGUCGACUUGCGUCCGCCAGUGUCGGAGGACGCCGAGUGGCGGUAGCAGAACCGUCUCCUUGCCGAGAAGCAAAAGUGACGCAAGGACAAGAGACAGCGAAGAAGAAGAAGAGGGCCGCCAAGGAGUUCCAGCGGCGGCGGUGGGGAUAGGUCGUGUCGGAUGACGAUGACGAUGAGAAGGAGGAGGAGGAUGACGAGGAGGAGGAGGAGUUUAUCCUGUCCCCCCGGUCAGGGGCGCUUGUUAUCCGGGAGCCGCGCUCCCAAGCGGCCAUGGGGGACAAGGCGGGCGAGCUGCCUGCCCGGACCCGAUCCUGCGAAGCUUUGGGGGCGCGCCCCAGGGGUCGGCGCAGAGCGCCCCCCGGGGGUCGACGGAGCCGACCCCCAUCCCUACACCUGCAGCCCAGGAGCAGAGGAGCAGCGACAAGCGGCCGUUGCCAGAUGCCCCGGGGUCGGCGUCCAGCUCAGAGGCGAAGCGCGCGCGCCGCCCUUGCGCUGGGGGAACGUGAGUUGAAUUUCCUUGCGAAUCUCGUUCCUUUCCAUGCAUUGUGUUUGUUUCCGCUGAUGCUGUUUGUUGUCUCACAGCACCGCCCCUCAAGGCCUUGUCCCGCCGUUGGCGCCAAAGAAGGCGUUGCGGUGUUGUCGCCUCUGCGGGGCGGACCGCGGCUCCGCCGGCGGCGAGUGGCGGGGUCACUGGUGAGACCGCGGGUCCUACCGCGGAGGUGGCCCCUGCGGCGGCAACCGGUGGAGUGGUGCCACCGCCGGGCAUGGGACAGGGUCUGGACCCCGCUCCGUCCUCCGCCUCUUCGGCCGACCCCGCGGUGCAGAGUAUCGCUCCUGGGGGCCCUCAGGCCGGGGAGGUGAUUGACCUCGACGCCGACGAGGUGGAGGAGACGGCGGCGGUGGAGACGGGGGCGGUUGCCCCAGCGGCCAUGACGGGGACGACGACGGCGACGGGGGAAGGAGAGUCUACCCCCGCGGCCACGGCGGGGACAGUGGCGACAGAGGAGGCGGGGACGCCCGCCCCGGCGGCUGCGACGGAGGAGGCGGCGGUGACGGAGACGGGGGCUUCCGCCCGGGAAGCCACAGCCGAGGUGGCAGCGGCGACGGAGGUGAAAGUGCCUGUUCUGGAGGCCACGGUGGGGGUGGGGACGCCUGCCUCGUGGCCACGACGGAGGGCGAGGCGGCCCCAGGGACACUUGCUCCGGCACCCGCGUUGGAGGCGGUGGCGCCGACGGGUUGGCCCGUGGCGGCCUCGACGGGGGCGGGGGUGCGUGCGCCGGGACCGUCGGUGAGGCCGGCGACUUCCGGGAUGGUGGUGCCCGUCUUGACGGCGGCGGCGGCGCGGUCGGCCCCCGCCCUUGCCUCUACCACUCCCAUUCCCAAGGCGUGGAGCGGAUCCGUCCUGCGUUGGUCGUCUCGUGACGACCCGCAGAGGCCCCUCUUCACGUUGGAUGAUGCCACAGAAUGGGGCAAGUGGCAGGCGCUGCAGGGCGGACUCGCUAACGUCCGCGCCGCUCUAUCUUCGGCGUUGGGGGAGCUGGACGGCGUCAUCUUCCCCGGUGGCCGGGUAUGGUGCUUUCUCCGUUGGUUAUUUUCUUCCCGUUACUUCGUCCCUGAUGGCACAUUGUUCUGCAGGCCCUCCAAGAAUGUAGCCGGGGAAAAUCUGAUUUCCUUUGGCUCGAGCAGGGGCUCUGGGAGCGCUUCAACUUGGAGUUGCAGCGGACCGGGGAGCUGACCAUGCAAGUCGCCACCGUCUAGCAUGUCAUCGACGAUCUGCGAAGGCACGAGCAGGCGGCACAGGAGGACGCGCGGCGGGCGGAGGCCAAGUUCCAGGUCGUUGCCGAAAGGGCUCGCUGCGACCGCGAGGAGUUCCAGGCCGUUGCCGAAAAGGCCCGCCACGACGCUGAGGAGCUCGCACGGCUGAAGGUGCAGCAUGAAGCUCUUCAGAAGAGCGGCAGAGGGCCUGGCAGGACCGGGACGCCGAGAAGGUCCGGAAGGAGGAGGCUGAGAAGGUGGCGGCCAACCUUGGGGCUGAGGUCAGCCAGCUCCAAGUGCAAGCGCGAGAGCUUCAGGCCUCCGUGGCCCAGGGGCUCGACCAGGAGCGCCAGCUGAAGGCCUAAUCCGAGGGUAUGACUCUGUUUAUUUCUUUGUCUUUGUGAUGUUGCGGUGAUAUUUUAUUUGGCGGGUUCUUCUGGAUGAUCCUUGCAGAUGAGCUCAACUGGCUGAGGGAGGUGCUUGACGCGGAGCGCGCUGAGCACGGCGACCUGCGGGACGCGGUCCGCGUCAUCUGUGACUUCCUUAGUGUGGUCCAGGGGGAGGGGACGAGCUCGCUGGCGGCUCGUGUCCUCGGGACGUACCGCCGGACCAGCGAGAUCGCCCUGGAAGCGCUUCGCACCGGCUUGAGGCAAGCCUUUGGGGUCUUCGGCUCCCACUAUUCCGGCAUCAACUUCGCCGGGAUGAGCGGGGGAUACGCCACCGGCUACUACGAGGCCGAGCUGGAUGAGAUCGACGUGUCGGUGCUCAGCCCGGCGGAGGCCUUGGUGAAGCUCCUCGAGGAUGAGGCCGUCCCGCCCGAAGAUCCCCGGACGAGUUAACUAUAUCGGGCUGGCGCCCCAGAUGUAAAUACGUUAGGGAAAGACUUGUUUUUUGUGAGGGCCGUAGAGGCCUUUUCUAUGAAUUGUCGUAAAAAAGUUUUUGAUUCCCUUUCUUGCUUUUUGGACUUGGAAAGUUUAGAGCACGUUGUCGGGCGUGUCAGUAAGCUUUGAUGAGCGAAGGCACCGUAGCCGCUGGGGCGUCGUUUUUUUUGCAGUCCGAUCAAUCUUGCCUGAACACCGUUCGUGCACUUUCUCCUUUUUAUGCCCAAAAGUUCAGAAAGAGGGUCGGCUCGGAAAGAGAAAGCGUUUUGAGAGGGUGUCAAGUGGCUUAGGUACUUGCGGCAGGUUGCGUGGUGGACGCGGAUAUCCUUCUCCCUGACAGAUCUGCGGCGCAUUUAUGGUGAGAUCAACAUGGGGACCCACAAGACCCGCGCCCAAGGCGGAUACUUGUCUGGAGGGCCCGGGUUAGCCCGACCCCCUACGCUUGGGGUCAGGCGAGGCGGAGACUUGCGGCGGGGGGUUGGACGCUCCUGACCCUAGACCUGCGGUCGGGCGAGGCGGAGCUUGGUCUUCCAGGGGUCGGGGGCGCCUUACCCCGGGAUGCGGGGUCGGGCGAGGCGGAGCGUAAUUCUUGCCUCCCAUGUUGGGCCGACGGCAAUCUUUGUUACCUUGGGUGGGCCUGGGCCUUUAUGUUUUGUUGUUUCCAUGGGCUUCGAGAGGUCGUUAAUAUUUCCCCCCAACACUAUGAGGAGGACUUGUGGGCAGAAAGUCAGCUACCACAAACUUGCCUCUGAAUAUUUGGAGUGCAAACAUUGGAUGGUGGUUGUGGAGAGCCCCAGCCAUACCUCGCACCCGUGGAGAGGUAAUUGUCGGAUUGCUUGGUUCGUCUCUAGAAUGCGACAAGGUCAGGCGCCACCUCUCACUGCUGCCAGUCAGAAGGCCGAGGGGCCAGUUUCAACAUAGUAAUGAGAAUCUCCGAAGGCCAAUAUGGUUAAGCAGCUAACCUCCAUGAUCAUAGACUUACGUUUAGAAAAUAGGAGGCUUAGCGAUGCGUUAACAGAGCAGAAGUUAGAAACAGAAGAACUUAAGGACGACUUCCGUGUCCUCCGCCUUGGUCUUUGUGCUAAGAUAAAGCGCUUGUACAAUGCCACGGGGAAUGACGGUCUCUACGAUGCAGCUCAAUAGACGUGCCCCUUGUAUCCUUUCCUUUAGGCACUUUAGAAUAUGUUUAUUUGUUUUCCUUCAUUUUAAUUUCCAAUAGAUUGUUAGCGCCUCCAAUUUAAUUUCAAUAAAGUGUAGACUCACCGGUCAUCCAACUUGAUGGAGUCCUUUUGUCACCUAGUUGUCUUUGGAAGAAGUAGCUGGGUACAAAAUAAGUGUGGGGGAGAGCCACAGACUCUCUAGAGCUGAAACAAUGCACAACACCCACAAAUAGAGAAAACCACGCUGCACCAGCACGUACGUGAAAGUGGAGCCAGAGCUGGACCCAUAGGGGUUUGGCCAACCCAAGGGGUGGCCCACUCGGGCCAUCUUCAUCCACCGCGUCGGUUUGUGUCUCUUUACCCCUGAUCUCCCUGAUUCAUGAGUUUGAAUGAAUUUUAAAUCUGAUCAACUAAUUCAAACUCAACUAAAAUGAAUCAACUGCUCCACCUGCUCUACAUGUUUUCUAUGGUUGGCUUGCAUAUGUUUUAUUUCAUGCUUAUCAUCUUGAUGCUUGUGAACAAAUAUCUUUAGGACAGCAUGCUCAUCUAAGUAGUUGAUGUGUAUGAUAUGGUUCGAUGAUAUGAUCUUCACUCUUAAUGCUUAAGUGCUUGGGAAAAUCUAUUUGAAAAUUUAAAAGCCUUUUUGAAAUCUCCUCUUUGAUGUGCCAAAGUCCUACCAAAGCCAUAUGAUAAGUUAUCUUGAAAAACCAUUUGCAUAUGUUGCUUGUCUUUGCAUUGAGCUUUGUCAAAUUGGUGUGACCCUUGUCACAAUUCUUUUCAUACUUUCAUGAUCAAGACUCAUGUGCACGCCAUAUACCCCUUGCUAUGCUUCUAUGAGAUGUUAGCAUUGUACCAUCCAUUCAUUCCACAAAAUAAAUGCUCCACCAUAUGUGUUGGUCUCCUUCUAAGAUUAUUGUUACAAAAGAGAUAUGGGCUAUCAAAAAAAAAUAUGAAUGUCCAAGAAAGUUGGACACAUGAAUGUCCAAUAAAAAGAAAAAGAAAGAUAGCCAUGUCCUCAGAAAUAUUUACAAAGGGAGAGAGAUCAUACAAAAAGGAGUUUCCAUUCCAUCCACCACAUCCAUACAUGUGCACAUCUUGAUCUGAUUGUAUGACUUAUUUUUCUCUUUGGAUCUGGUCUUUGACUUUGCAAUAUAUGUGAUGCAAGCAUGCCUUAUCCUUCAUAGCCUACCUUGAGCUCCACAUAUAGCCAUCAUUAGAAGUAGGAUGAAGAAAGGCAAGUCUAAUGCCUUGGUGAGGACAUAUACACAUUGAGUGAUCUGAGAGAAUCAAAUGAGGAGCUAAGCAAGGUUUUGUUUUGAAAACUAAUUGAAAAAUCCCAAGCUACUUGGCAUAAGGAGUUGAGGUGACUUGAUUCAAGACCAUUACAUUCCUCAACUACCCAAGAUGGCAUGAUAGACACUCCAAAGUUCACAAGUGCAGGUAUGGUUUGGAAUAUCUUUUAGGCUCGCUUCAUACCUUUGAAAGUUAUGUUUCACCUUAGUCCUUUCUCGUUCACUCAAGGAUAAGCAAAGGCUAAGUGUGGGGGUGUUGUUGAUGGCUCUUAAGUACAAAAUCUGCGCCAUCAACUCUUGCAUAAACACAUAAAAUAUGAGCAUCAACAAUAGUGGUAGGAGUUAUUACAAACGAAUUCCACAAGUCUUGGUGAAUAUUUGUAUGCAAGCCCAAUAGGAGAGAAAAGACACCUCAAAAGCAAGGAAACACACUCUCAACCAAUCAAGAGCAAGCACAUGGAACCAUGGGCCCACAACCAAAAGGAAAUCGACUACAUUCCAAACACCCUAUACCCACAUGAGAACCCAUAGGGCAGUGACCCAGAGCAAAGGUGAUGCCAGAGUGUAGAUGGUAGUUAGCAUGCCAAAUUUUGAACCGCAAGCGCUCGGAUUAGUUGUUUCUUUUCCCUUAGAGAUUCCCCCAAGGUUUAUCAAUCCAUGGAACAAGGGAUUUGCACGUUUCACUAAGCACUAAUCAAUGUAAUUGAAAGCUUUUCGAAUAAGAUAUGAUUAUGCUAACAAAGGAACUAAGCAAUCUAGAUUAAGAUGGAUAGAGAGUACAGGUUGUGAACAAGAUAGAUUAAACGCUUGUAGAUGCAAUCACCAUGCAUGAAUGAAUUAGAUCUAGGUGUUAUUGUGAGUGGUUGUGAACCAUGCCCAACACUUUCCCACCCGCAACAUUGUCACUACAUGUGGGUACUCAACUAUCGGAACAUAAGAACACAUCAAGAUGAUCAUUCUAGGUAAGCAAAUAAGCAACCCAAAGUAGCGCUGGCCAGCCUUUUCAUGAAAGAGCAUCAUCAAGAUAAGAUUGAUAACAAAAUAGAUCUCAACCAAAGGUUCAGCGAUUACAAAUCAAGAUCUUCGUAUAACCCCGAUGACAAAUAGAGGUAUUACCCCCAUGAUCUUACACAUGUUGAUGAAUUUUAGGGUAAAGGACACCCUGUAGAUCAACUGGACCAAAGAUGAUGAUGAACGGGGGCAGGGAAGGCCCAGGUUGAUCAGCCUGCGCACUUUUGAGCCGAUCAGCUCAGGGGGUUUCCUCCUCCCCUGGUGCUCCUCUUCGCGUGGCCUCCUCUGGAUCCAAUCUUCUCUUCAUUUCUCCUACUUGUGGCGGCAAUGGAUGGUGUUUGCAUGGUGAUUUCCUCUUCUCCCCAACUCUCCCUCCUUGAAGUCCAUGAGGGGGUAUUAAUAGUCUCCAAUAGGCGGCAGCUCUGGGUCAAUGUCAGUGAAAAAAUCCUAGAGAUCAUCGUACACUUCAUGCUGAGGAAACAAGAGGUUGACCGAGCCCUGGGAUAGACCAAGAGGAUCAUCCUAGAGGGUCCCAGGCUAAUCGGUCUAGGCCCUUCCUAGCCCUUCUAGUCCUCUCCUUCCUCGUGCUGGCUUUUCUCGAUGACCCUUGUCCAAAUAUCCAUGAAGCUCUAUAUACAUACCCCCUUGAUUAUGUUGUAUUUCCUGUCAAAAUACAAUGCUCCAAAAUACAACACAUAUGCAAUAAUAGGGUUAUUUCAGGUGCCAAUUGGUGGGUUAGUAUACGAAUAAGCAUGAAAAUACUGUUUAAAUGACACUAAAAGUGUGUCAAUAACGAGCACCAACAAUCCCCCCACGCUUAGAUCUUGCUCGUCCUCGAGCAAGUCUAGCGACUAAAAGAUCUUGAAUUAAACCUGAGCAAGCGAGUCAAGUACCUAGCCUUGAAACAAAAGAUUAGAGGAGCAGCAAAGAUAAUCAAAGUCUGGGUGUUCAAAGAUUUAUCUAAGCAAAGAUUCCCCUACAACUAUUAUUCAGAACCAAGUAACUUCAAAAAUCAACUACACUUAUUUUCUGGCUUUUUUCAGAGGGUUUUUCUUUCAUCAUAAAACAAUCUCCCUGCAACAAAAUUGAAAAAAGAAUUAUUUUCAAGGUGCUUACAUGUCGCUUAAAUGAAUGUUGGCUAUCCUACUUAUUUGCAAGCUCUCAUCUCUCAAAAUUCAUUCAAUUAUAUGGUGGAGUUUGGGUAAGGUUAGCUAGAAUCAACACGUAUAUUAUUGAAUUAAGAAAACCCUCUAACGGUGGCCUACCUUCCGAGCCAUUGAUCAUAAGAAUAUCCACAUAAUGUGAAGUUUUCAAGGAUGAGAAGAUAUAGAAUGGUGGACAUGUGCAAAGGCAAAGAAAUAUAGUGACUCUGAGGCACAAGCAAUGUCCUCGUCGUUGGAUUGCAUAUGGUUGUAAUGAAAAUAUGUUCCUUAAACAAGUCUAUCUUUUCUUUGCACCACUCUUGAUCUUCAUGACAGUAAAAACUCCUCCUUUAUUUCUUUCUCUCUUUUCCUAUUAUUUCUUUUUAUUUGUCUCAAUACUUUUAUUUCUUUAUUUCUUUAUUUUAAUCUCUUCUCUGAACCUCUUCUGAACACCACAUAAUAAAAAUAAGUUUUAGAUCCUUCCAGAGACCUUCCAGGAAUUUGCUACAUGAAAACCGAGGCAAGGAGACCCCAGGCCGAUUGGCCUAGCCACUCCUUUGCUCUCCUCUAGCUCUUCUUUCUGGUGAAGCUUCCUUAUCUUGUAUCUUUCCAAAAAUUUCAUAAAGCUCGACUAGAAACGGAACAGAUCUUCAUAUAAUGAGUUGUGUUCAAGGAAUUGGUAAUAAAAUUGAGAAAUUUGUGGUUCGGGUUUACGAAUUCAGUACAAAAAUAUGAUUGUUCCAAUGAAGAACUCUCAUUACUGAAUAUUGACGAGGCAAGCAUUCAAAGAUGGUAAAAAGGAUAUGAUCAAUUCUCAAAAUUAAAGCAAACCAAGAGAGAGCGAUCCUAAUUCAAUUCAAAGUGUCAAAUGUUGCUUAUGGUGGUAUGAAUAAAUAUUUUUAGGCAUUGGGUAGGAUAAAUAAAAACUCUCAACCUGGUUAAAAGAUAUUGAUCAAUCUUGUUUUUGCAGAGGUUUUAAAUAAAAAAUAAAAUUUUAAAUCACCUCCAAUUCAAAGCCUUACUCAUAAAUCAUAAUCAAAACUGAAGCACUUGAUCAUCAUAAAGCAUGGGUAUUGCAUAAACAAAUCGAUUACUAAAACUCCACAACUACGAUUUAGAAUUCAAGACAAUGCUCAUAAUCUAAAGUUGCAAAGAUAAAAUAAAAGACAACCAAGCCAAGGUAGACACUAAAAACACUUGCACGAUCCUUGAAUUUUAUUCAUGCUUCUUCUCACAAAGACGCUAAAGUAGCCAUGUAGGCCUAAGUCUUCCCAAAAGCUUAAGAAAACUACUACUUUAUCUACUUUUGGUUGAAAUAAAAAGACUAAUCUAGACUCUCACAUGAUUCGACUCGACCAAAUUAGAUCCAAAAACUCAUACGAGCGACGAUCUCCCCCCCCUCACGCUUAAAAUCUACGACCUCCUCGUCGUAGCCAUAUGGAGUACAAGGAAAAGAAGCUUGUAAACGCUCUAAUGACGCUACCCGCACUACUUGCACACGGGAUGGUUGCUGCUUCCUUCGCUUUGUUCUUCCUCAUGUUGCUGCACAUCCCGAAGAGCUUCCUCACGUUCCUCUGCAAGAACUUGAACUCGUCCUCCUGACGGCGAUCAUUAUCUUCUGCCUUUUGAUCCAGAGCUUGUAAGGCUUGCAUGAUGUCAUCGAACGCAUCGAAGAGGUAGUGGAUGUUCUUCCUGCAAGCUGUGGAACAUGUACGAUCAUGCUCCUCCGAUUCUGGCCCGUCGUCUUCUAGAUCCUUCUCUUUGCCCUUGUCUUGACGGUGGCUAUCUUGCUCCUUGCUCGCCUUCUUGCCUUCAGCCCAAUCCCAGUACGUGUUGUCAUCUUCUUCAUCGUCACGGCCUGCAGCACCCUAUGAUCCAUUGUCUAUCUUGUAUGAAAGAAUCAGAAGCUUGUUCUCCUCAGGGUGUCUUGCGCGGUGCAGCGUUUGCAAGUGCAAGACUUGCUAGUUCCUUUUACACAUUGUAAUGUUCAUUGCAUGCUCUAAUUGUUCUACAUUUGUAAUUUCUUGGUGAAGUUUGGUUACUGAUCCACUGUUUGAUUAACUCUUGGGCCCAAACACUGUACUACUUCUGAUUAGAUAUCUGUAUCUUGACUUUGACCAAAAAAAAUAUCCGGCAGUUUUUGCCAUUAAAGUUUCAUAAAUCAUCUUGCAAAAAUCGUACUAUACAACAAGGGACGGUUUAUUAUAAAAUAUACGUUCCCCUUAUCACAUGCCACUUCCACUCAAAAGGCAACGAAUCAGUUUUCAAUCCUGAGUGAGCAAUUUGCUUUUAUUACCGAUGCCUCCUAUUCCCUUGUGCACCAAGUUUAUUUUGGAUAGGGCUGCAAAAAACGACUAACCAGCUCGGAUUCUCCACCUGCAAAACCGCAUCUGCAGCAACCAACCCCACGCGGUGGAAAAAAAAACAAAACCUAGAAACCGGACGGGGGUGGAUGUGGGGCUCGGAGCCCAAGCAAAAAACGGAUCGGGAGCGCCGGAGCAGGCCAUCACCGGAUGUUAGAGAUAGAAAAUGGUUGAAGUUUGGAGUGGAAAUCAAACAAGCCUUGGAGCAAAGGAAAAAAAAAGAUCAAACCACUCAAGCAUUCAUUUGAUUUAGAAAAGAGAACAUUUGUUAAGGUGGGGAGUUGAAAUCAUCUUUUAAUUAGUUCCACGUAUCUGGUAUCAUUACAGUUGGUUUACUUGUGUAAGUAUAAGUAGCUCUGCCGAAGCCUUUGCUCCUAUAAUUUAGUAACUAGUACAAAUGGAUCAAUAGGAAAAUCAAGUUGCAAUCAUUUCUCAGCCAACCAAACCUAUGUAAAUCAAAUUAUUGUCCAUGCCCGGCAUGCACAGGUGCCUGCCAUGCAUGCAUUGUUGCUCCAUUGUAAUAACCAUUAUUGUCCAUCGAUGUUGCAGCGCAUGUGUGCACUGUGCAGACACCAAGCAUCGAGAUUAUGUACUAGUAAGGUGUUGAAAUAAUGGGCCUAGCCCAUAAGUAAUUUCAGAAUUUCAAAUAAAUCUCAAAGGCCCAUGUGGGCAAGAGGUGGAGUGGUGCAAGUCUUUAGUCCCACAUUGCUAGUCGAGGGGAGGGAUGACCAACUUAAAUAUGGAAGUUGUCUCCACUCCUCCAAGCUAUGUGUGAAGGGCGCGGGCGCGAGGCACUUGCGUGAAUGGUCCGCCGAAAUCUGGCCCCCCUUGCGGGGGCGCGGCUUCCUUUUGCCGUUUUAUUUUUUGGUUACUUGGUCGUUAAGUCAUGGAAUCCUAACCGGUUUAGAUCACGAUCGUGAAGGUUUUUGGGAAGCGCUCUGCGCGACUGCUCGAUCGCUUCUUCCGCUUCGUCAAGUUCUUCGUCGACUCCUUCACCACGGCUCGUCUACCUCUUCGUCGCUCGGGCCUCACUCGUCGUCGCGAACAACGUCAGGCUGCUGAUCGUCGUCGCCUGCUGUAUCCGGUAGUCGUCCAGGAGCCGGUUUUCAUCAAGAAAGAAACGUACGGUCUCUUAACUCACAUUAUGUCUUCCAUACUAGCUAUUAUGAUUGUUGCAGUCUGAUAGCUCUGGAUAGUAUGGUAGAAUGUCUGAUUCUAUUUGCAAUGAUAGACUUGUCUAGAUCUUGCGUAGACAUGUCUAGUUUAAUCUGCUGCUUGUUCAUCAUAUUCAUGAUUUAUUUCUGGAUUAAGUUAAAACUAAAAGUGCUUAUAUAUCCAACAUAAGGUACCAAGAACACGUGAAGCACCCGGGGGAGGCUGCUCCACUCCGCAUGCACAGGUGGGCACGGCACCACUACUCGUCUCCUUCAGGCUGAGGAUAAGUGAUGUACGCUGAUCAACAGACCACGACGGAACCAGCAAUAAUAGUUUCAGCCUGCCUCACAGUAAUUAAUAUAUCCUGUAUCCUCCGAGGACCCCUCCCCUUAAUCUUGGCCUAUUGCAUCCAAUAAUGAUAUGUGUGUUUAUCCAAAUUUACGGCACCUUUGGCGGGGGUUCCACCCAGCUCCGCCCUCUCCACCUUCGGUACUCCAUGGGAAACCAUUCCUUUGGAAUCAAGGAAGCUUGAACAGUAUAACGAAUAAAGUUUCAUAUAUCCAUUUGAUUUCACAUGAAAUAAAAUAUUCUGUCAGAACCAAUGGUUUCACUGAAGCUCCAGGCAGCGAGCGAAGGGGUGAGAGAGGAUAACGCUUACUGUGUGUUACCAUCGCGUGCACCAUGGAUGACCAACGCGCAGCCGAGAUGAAACGGCGGACCUAAACAGGUCCUCGCUAUUUUUGCAGGUUCUCGACCAGGCCAGUUCUUUAGGCCAACCUAUCAUUCACGAGUUAAACAUACGGUGGCUGGAGAAAUGUUCUAUUCUUUUAAACAAUACCAGCUGGUUCCUCCGUUUUUAUUCCACCAAUACAAGCACCACCUUGUAACAUUUCCUAUGUUUUUUUUCCUUUCGUCUGUUUUCUCACUACAUGCGUUGCUCUUUCAUGCAUUUUUUUCCAUUCCUGUAUUCCAAAUAGGUCUACAUGAACACAAAAUGAACUAGGGGACAGAAAAAGCCAGUGAAGUUAGUUUUGAGCUUCACCAGCUACUUGCUACAUAAAGUGUGCUAUAGUCGCAGAAAAGCUAAGCUGGAUCAGACGUGGCCGAAACAAUGCCAAAGAGCUAGGUCCCUAGCUGAUGGCAACACAUCAGAUGACUAGCCUGCUUUUCUGUAAUAAUGAUAUUGAGCAAUACACUGCAUGGCUAACCUGCUUUACAAUAAUUGUCAUUUUAUAAUAUUGGUCAUCACGAGAGAUGCACAUUGCAUACACCGGCCCAUCCCUAUAAAUAGCCAAGCCUUUCAGCCAUCUUGGGCACCUCCUCUCAGGGCCUCGUCUCACCAUCAGACAUCUCGUUCCCAGUUAUAAUUUGCGAGGUUAGAUCAGGCUGCGCCAUGGCGUCCGCAACUGCUGUCAAGAUCGUCGCCACCUUCAUGCUGGUGCUGACCAUGGGCCACCUGAUGGCCGAAGCAUCACCGCAGCCUCGGCGUGUGCUUGCAGAAACGGAGCAUGCUGCGGUGUCCGGGAAUCCUGGCCUCCCAGGUGAUGCUAGCGUCAUGCAGGUCCUCGAACCCGCCCUAGUUUCUCGGCUUGCCUGCAAACCAGAGUGCACAGUCCCUUGGCCUCCUUUUGUAUGUAUCUGCUAGAUCCUCUUCCUGGCUCAACGGAACUUCAGGGAAAUGGCUGUGACGUCGGCCAAAGAAUAAAUUGGAUGAACAUAAUAUACCCCGGGUAGUGUAGCUUGGGCUUUUGUUGAGCGUCUGGUGCUAGUUGUAUUUUGUUUGCUCAUGUGGCUUUGCUUCUGGUUGCAUAUUGGCUUUCCUAUCGCUCUCUGUUGCAGCUAUGGUUUCUGCCAGGUGUGUGUUAAUGCGGUUUGUAAGCGGUGCUUGUUCCUACCUUCUGUUUUCAAUAAAAGAAGUCGGAGUCUCCCUCCGACUCUUGUUAUCAGUCAACAAAAAUGAGUUGUAUCAUAUAUAUCUGCGUCUUUUUUCUACGUAUCUUUGGGCUGCUUCAGCUGGAAGUUUAUCGUAAGUACGUGUAUCAGGAUGAUCGUUUGAAUUAAAACGAAAUGAUAAUGUGUGGCUGCUAGAAAUGGAAUGAGCAUCUUACUAUAUUACUAAUUGGAAGCCUCCACGUGAAGCCACCUAGAAAUUCUAGGUGGACGUUUUAAAAAAAACAAAACUCAUAGAAGCCUCCACCACCUAGGAAUCCUAGGUGGACACUCUAAAAAGAGACAAAUCCUAGAAAUUCUAAAAAAAGAAAAAAAUAAUAACAAUAAGAUUUUUUUGCAGUCAAUUACAUAUAUUUUUUUGAGACACCGUGCUGCUAGCUCUUGCCAUUGCGACCAGUAAAGCAAGCAGAUAGUAAGAUGACAUGCGUGUGGAUUGAUUAAAACAAAUUCAGUUAGUUGAUUCUAAAUCGUAUGUAUCCUAAAAGGAAGAUAUGUGCGUGCAUGGUCCCUAGCGAUGACAUGUAGACAUGUAUUGCAAUUUCUUUUUUAAAAAACAUGUCUAUCUCUAAACCAACAAACAGAAAAAAUAUCAAUCUAAAUCUAAAUCUCUUCCGUUCUCACACGCCUAUUAAAGAGAAGACAACCAAUCCCAUCCAUGUUCCAUAGAAUCCAUCUAAAAGCUUGCUCACUGCGGACGGCAUUUGACGGCAAAUCAAUGAAAGAUCAUCCUCUCCAAAUAGCUGGACGGCAUCACCAUCUUUAUCUCACCAACCUACAGAGCUACAACGAUGUUGUAGAGAUCAACUAGGUAACCUACCAAUCACCCUCCCCUUUUCUAUAUGCUCUAAAGAACACGUGGAGUAAUUAUAGGCCUAUAGGAGCCGACUAACCUAGAUUAAUAUGAAAAAUAUUCCAAUAUUAAAAGCAAGCAGAUAGUAAUACUUGCCUUUGACCAUUUUUCUAGAACUGUUAUUCCUAUUGAAUGUUCAAGUGCUACGGCCAGGCAUCGAAUGCCUGCACGGAACCUUCCUAUUGAAUGGUUACUCUAGAGAUCAACGCACCGCGAGACAUUUUUAUGGAAUUUGUUUGAUUCCCCUUCUACAAUUAGAUUAAUUUUUCAUGGCAUAUAUUACUACUAUUAAAUUAUUUGUUUAUUGUCGGGCCUGCUGCAUGUGUGGUAUAUAUGACUUGCUUCUCACCAUUGUUCUCAAACUAUUAUUCCUAUCGAAUCUUUCUAUCGAAAUAUAUUUUAAUUACUUGAUUGUUGUUUGUGUACCAUAACUUCUGUAUAGAAAAAUUCCAUGUUUGUAGAUAAUGUCUUUUGUAUAGAAAAAUAGCCCAAUUAGAUCCAUCACCAUCUUUUGCUUAUGUAGUUGAACAAGUUGCAAUGUUGAACAAAACUUUAAGUGAAAUUAGACCAGGAAAAGGAAUUGUGGAACAUUAAGGCAAGGGUAACCAGAUUGUGGAAUGCAACCUUACUCAGUAGUGGCGAACAAUUAAGUCUUGACAUGAUCCUUAUUGAUCAAAAGGUAUGAUAGAUGUUCACUUUGAUUGCAUUAUUGGUAUAAUUUUUGGUUUACAAAUUAUUAAUGAUGAUGCAAAAUUAGGGAACCAUGAUCCACGGUGUUAUCAAUAAGCCCUAUAUGAAAAAGUUCAAACCAUUGAUUGAAGAAGGCAAUGUGUACAUAAUUGCAAAUGUCAGAAUCACACCAGAACCACAGAAGUAUCGGCCAGUGGAAAAUGACAGGAUAGUCAACUUCUUACCCACAACUGCACUAAAAACGAUCAAAGAUACUGAAGACAUUCCAAAGUAUAGUUUUAACUUCAUGAGCACGGAUAUGCUUUCAGCAAGAAUAAAUGUGGACAUGUACCUAUUAGGUAAAACAUUACUGGCUUUUCAAUUUUUACACUUCCACUCAUUAAAUGACCAUCUAAUAAUAAUACAUAUUUAUGUUUCAUAGAUGUUAUAGGUAUCUCAGCUCACAUUGGACCGAUAGAAGAAACAAGGACAAACUUCGGAUUUACUAAAAUCCGUGAUAUUGUGCUCCUGAUCGAGUAAUUCUCUUUUCUUUUGUAGAAAACAACUACAAAACUUUCAACAUUUACAUGUAUGUUAUAGAACUUCUGUUGAACUAAAAAAUAUCUUCUACAGUGCCCCUACAAAUAAUUAAUUUCGUAGUUGGAUAUUUAAAAUAUUUAUUAUUCACUUUUAAAUUUGUGGCCAUGAAGUUAAAGUUAGAUUUUGGGGAGACAAAGUUGAGGAAGUUGAUGAUAAGACAAAAUCCCAUGUCAUUGCAAUAACAUCUACAACUGUGAGUAAAUUUGGCAGUAAGUCUUCAUUCAAUAUGAGUUAUUCAAUAUUAGUCAUUCAACAAACUAACCUCGUAAGAAAAAUAAAUAAUUGAUGUUUUAUCAGGGUAUUCUCUAUCGUCAACCAAUGCAACAAAACUUUAUGUAGAUCUACCUAUUCCUGAAACUAAGGAUGCACAUGAUAGGUGAGAAAAAUUAGAUAUUGUUUUUCUAUUUUAAUCUAUGUAGCAUGCACUCUAACAUGAUACAUUCUUUCAUAUGAUAAAAAAAUGUUAGUUCAAUUGAAAAUAUUGUCAAAGAGAUUCAUAUUGAGGACCAUCUAAAAGGGACAUUGGAAGACCAAAUGCAGUACAAUAGAAGAACUUUAGAAGAAUUAAAUUUCAUAUUAUUUGAAACAUCAAAUCAGGUAUGGAUUAGUAUGUUCAUUGUACACUAUACUAUUUAAAGACUUACAUACAUAAUGAUGGUAUUGUUCCUACUUUCAGGAUGAGGUAUUUACUAUUGAAGCAACAAUAAAUGAAAUUAAUGCAACAUAUGGUUGGUUGUCACACCCGAUUUUAAGGACAAAAUUGAGUGCAUUAAAUACAUGUGCACCAGGAUCAAGUUACACACAUCCUAUGAGUACCGUCCUUCUUUGGCACAAAGAUAACCGGUGCUCCCCAUGGUGAUGAACUAGGCCGAAUAAACUAUUUUGCUGAUAAUUCCUCUAGUUGUUGUUUCAAUUCUUUUAAUUGUUCAACCAACAUUCUAUAAGGACGUUUGGAGAUAGGUGCAGUACCAGGUAAAAGAUCAAUAGCAAAUUCAAUGUCGCGGUCAGGUGGCAUACCUGGUAAAUCGUCGGGGAACACAUCCGGAUAGUCACACACCACUUUGAUAUCUUCCAAGGAUUUUCCAGCCAACUGAUUAACUGCACAAUCUGCUGCUGAGGGUAGAGUAGCUACAAACUCCACUUUCUCUCCAUCAGGACCUGUUAGCAGAACUGUCCUCUUGGCACACUGAAUCGUUGCAUCAAAAGCGGCUAACCACCUCAUCCCCAGAAUUACAUCGAUUCCACUGGACUCAAGGACGAUAAGAUCAGCCGGAAACUCUAUACCCAUUAUUCUCAGUUUAACUUGUGGACAGAUGUAUUGAGCCUUCAUUGACCCCCCAGGUGAACUCACUAGCAUAUGACGCCUCAUGGUAUGCAUGGGUAAAUUAUGCUUUGCUACAUAAUGACUAGUGACAAAAGAAUGCGAUGCUCCAGAGUCAAAUAAAACUGAUGCGGGGGCAGAGUUGACAAAGAACAUACCAAGCACUACAUCUGGAGCCUCCUUAGCAGUCUCGGCUUCCAUGUGGUUCACCUUGCCACAAACAAAGCUUUGCUGCCCCUGAUUGCCUUGUGGGGUCUGGUUCCCAUUCCUCGGUUGCUGCAUCUGAUUCUGCCGAGGAGCACUGCUGUUCUGCACGGGGGUAGCUGGCCCACCUCUCUUAGGACAAGAGCUGGCAUAGUGACCAACCUCGCCACACUUGAAGCAGGUAGGACCCACUGGAGCAUUGGGCCUUGUUGGAGUGCCAGUAGGGGUCAUCUGGCGGUUCUGCGUAAAGCUUGGGCGCGGAGUCUGCAUAGUCUGCAUCCCUGGAUGCUGGAACUGAGGGCUAGGGCGCUGGAAUGACUGCUGAGCAGGGCGCGGAAAUGAGUGCUGCCAAAAAUUCCCACUCGGGCCCCCUGCGCGGAACGGCGUCCCUUGCUGUGGAGCAAAGCGAGGGCGGGUGUUGCUUCCUGAAGACUACUGGGAAUUGAAUUUCCUCUUCAUCUCCCCGAGCUCGUUCCUCUUGUGUUCCAGGCCAAUUGCCUUGUCUAGCAUCUUCUGGAAACUGGGGAAGGUGUGCGACAUAAGCUGAUAUUGGAGUGGUCCAAUCAACCCAUCCAAGAAUAGCUCCUGCUUCUGCUCAUCAUCAGCAACAUCUUCGGGAGCAUAUCGGGACAACUGGACAAACUUGUCCCUGUACUCUGCCACUGUCAUGUUCCCCUGCUUGAGAGCAAGGAACUCCUUCUUCUUAAGCUUCAUCAAUCCGGAAGGAAUAUGAUGACUUCUGAAGCUAGUCCUGAAUUCAUCCCAGGUGAUGCCAUUAGCAUUGGCAUGGGUGGUGGUGUAAGCAUCCCACCAAUCAGCAGCUGGCCCUUCCAGGCGUCCUGAAGCAUACAGGACCUUCUCCCUGUCAGUACAUUGGGCGAUAUCCAGCAUCUUCUCCACUGUUUUCAGCCAAUCAUCAGCAUCUAAUGGAUCCGGAGAAUGUGAAAACGUCGGGGGCUUGUGGCUCAUGAACUCCCUAUGCCUGUCCCUUGGCGGCGGCUGCUGCUGGUUGUUGUUGUUGUUAUUGUUCAGCUGAGCUUGUAAAGCUGCCACGGUGUUGGUCAGUCCGGCGAGAAGCUGAGUCUGAGCUGCUAGAAACUGCUCCAUCCCUGCAGGUGCUUGUUGGUUCUGUUGCGGAGCGGUGUUGGGAUUGCUGCUGUUGUCCCUGUGGCGUGGCACUGUGGGACGGUCAACUCCUGAUCCGGACCUGGUGUUUACCAUCUGAGCGUUAGAGACAAUGGAUUUAGAUAGAUGUGUGAAAGAAUAACUGAGAAAGAUAAAGCGACCAGAUGUAAAAGUAACACAGAUUCUGUUAGCUCCAUUUAAUUAGGUGUGGUCGUCAGAAGAAGUGUCCAUAAAUUCUGAACAAUUACCAAGUCGUAACUUAUUAAAUUUGUAAACCAACCCAACUGGAAUCAUCUCAAUCGGACUUCUGGAUCUCGAGUUACAAAAUUAACAAGCUGACAGUGUCGGUCGAUAGGUUCAGAUUCUGAGUGCUUUACUAAUUCGCAUACACCUCCCAGACAGAUACACCAAAAAUUCUGAAAAAUUUACAGAUAGUACUCCACGAAAUUCUGAAACUAACCCCACUGGUUUCAUGUCAUUUGGACUUCUGUAGCUAGAGAUAUAAAUAAAAAAGUACUGGCGUGUCAGUUAAUGUCGAGAACAGAAUUGAAUGUCGCUUAGCUUGCGUGAUGGAUAGAUUUAGACAGAUGGUAGAUCAUGAUUAAGGAAGAUUAAAUACUGAUUUAGAACAGAAAUAAAACCCAACUAAGCACUUUAUUUAUUAAGACCAGUAUCGUGUGGCAAUUGCCCCACAUACCGCACUCAUUACAAAAUCCAACUCAAACAUGUAGCACAAAACCAAUCAUCUAAGCACACUUUAACUAACACACUCGAACGACGUCUAACGAUUACAAGAAUUUAAACUAAAACACUCCUAAUUUCCUAGAGGUCUUCUGCGGCGGUGCCGGGCGAGUCGUAGCGGGGACGCUUAGGCGACGGCGACGAAGCGGGAUGAACAGCAAACUCCUGCGGCGGCGGUGCUCCCGUCGCGGCAGCCAUAUUCGCAUCCCUCUCCCACCGGAGUUCCUGAACCUCCUGUUGAAGCUCCUGGAUGUGGUUGUUUGCUUCAUUCAAUGCGGUGAGAGCUGCCGACGUGUACUUGCGGAGGAAGUCUGUAGCCAUGUCAACCCCAUCGUUAGUAGCGAUGAAGGUUCUUGCUUCCCCACUAGCUCGGUAAGGAAGGAACCGAUGGUAAGUGUGCUGCAAUCGCGGCCGUUCCUUGUGGGAGACGACCUCAAGUGCCCUCCUGGCGGCCUCGGCAAUGCCGGAUUCCAUGGUCCUCCUUAUGGUCACAUCAUGGUGAAAAGCCUUCACCUCCCAUCCUCCCUCGUGCUCCUCACGAAGGACAACCUUCACCUCCCAAAAAGUGGGAUAGCGAGGGUGGGUGAACCGGGAGCACUUGUAGAGUGGCCUCAUGCCGUACCCCAAGCGGUGACAAGUCCACCUGAGUAUGUCGGCCAUGUGCACUCCUUGGCCAUAAUCUUCCUUCACCCAUUUGAUCCAUGUCUCGGGCUCGGGAUCUGCUUCGGGCUCAUCAUCCGUCAAGUCGACGACCGGUACGGGCGUCGGGGCUGGUGCAGGAGCGGGCGCCGGUGCUGGCGACGGUGCUGGUGACGGCGUGGUCUCCUGCUCCACGGUCACGGCGUCCCCGUCAGAGUCAUCCCCCGGAUGCUGGAAGAUCUCUUCCUCUUCUUCCUCGUCCCAAGGCUCCAUGGGGGCGUACGACGGCGCGAUGCCAUGACGCGGCGGACGGGUGCUCUUGCGUGCGGUCAACCGGGUGCGAGCCAUCUAACAGAAAGAAAGAAGAAAAUUUUAGAAUAAAAUUUUGAACAAAGCUAGAUAAUAAAAUAGCAAUAAGGAUGAGACAAAUCAAGUUUAAGAAUAAUUAAGUAGAUUUAAAUUAAGAAAGGUAGGAAUGGCUACUAGAUUAUUAUAAUCCUUAAAUACGACCAUUUUCUAACUAGGCUAACGUCCUACAGUCAACACGGCUCUGGUACCACUUUUGUCACACCCGAUUUUAAGGACAAAAUCGAGUGCAUUAAAUACAUGUGCGCCAGGAUCAAGUUACACACAUGUACGACAAUAGUGAAUAGUAAAGCCAGUGCUAAAUCGAAUAAAGAGAGUAUUAACCAUUAUUACAUGACCGAAUGUCUCAAAUAAACCACAAAGUCUAAUUAUUACGCAGCGGAACUCCAAAGAUGACGACGACUCCAUAGGCAGCUGACUGAAGAAACGUACGCCUAGAACUCCUCGAAGUCGUGGAAGUACUCCUCUUCCCAAUUAACUUGGUCUGAACAGCGGUUUUGCAAGGGUGAGUACACUUAUGGUUGGUACUCAACAAGUCGUGGGAAGUAGUGUAGUGUAAGGCUAAUUCAAGGUAUGGCUAAGGCGUAAAUAGCAUUCGCUUUUAAUUAAGUUGGUCAAAUUUUAUUAGCAUUUACUAAGUAUAAGUUCAUACCACCCGAAAUUAAACAUGAACAUAAAGUAAACCACAUGUGCAUGAAAUGAUAACAAAUUAAAUCCAUCUUCCGAUAAUAUUAUCAUGUGAGGGUCCAGGCCGCUCUUAACCGUGAGCACGGCUGAUUGAUCAGUUUAACACUCUGCAGAGGUGGCACAUCUUUACCCACAAGUCGCGUAAAAGUUCAAAAGAACUUUGGACCCAACCAUGCGGUGUUUGCAAGGCACCAUACCACACUUCCGAGGUGUGAUUGCAUAGGGACGCUACGAGGCCUUUACAAAGAUUCAUUAAUCAGUGGUAACCCGCUAAGGUUUCGGUGUCUGGCGUGCACCACCCAUCCCAGGUAAAAUGCAACGACUCAGUCCCCCCCCUUGAAUCAUCACGAGUAAGGUCACCCCAGACUAAGGUUUCUAAUUAAUCAGCCAAGACCAGAGCUAUUUAGUCUUGUGGUAGCACUGUUUUCCUGGGUGGUCGCUCCAUGUUCUGAUUAACAAAUAAUGAUCUUGUCUUAAUGAAAGGUAUAACAGAAAUAAGGCAAGAUUAAGCAUUGUUUUUAGUUAAACCACCAUGUACCAAGUAAGCACUAAGCAUGAGCUACCCAACAUAAAGUAAACCGGUUGGUCAAGGCAAAGGUAAAACAAUCUAGGCCAACCUUAAUUGGGACCCAUCAAUUUAAUCUUAAUAUGUGCACAGCAUAAAUGUUGAGUACGAGAAAGUAAAGGUGUAUAGGACAAAAAGGUAGUGAUCAAGGACACGACUUGCCUUCUUGGCCUUGCUCCUGCUGUUCGUACUCCUCGAAGGCUUGAUCGGCAACUCCCUCGAACUGCGGGGCGUCUACACGCAUCACACGAGCACAUACAAGCAAACAUGGGCAAAAGUAAGAAAACAGUAUACCAAACAUAGUCAAACAGAGAAAACAAGCUUGAAAAGAUGAUCUACGCUUUAAAACGAACACGCGGAUAUAAAGAACGCGAAAAACGGAGUUAAGAUGCAAAAGAUAUGAUUAAAACAAAAUCCAGGGACUUUUCUGUAAGAAAAACAAAACUUUUAGGGCCUAUCCGCGAAAACCGAGGGCUUAUACGUAAUUAUGCGUAUAAACCGAGGGUCUGAUGCGUAAAAACAUCAAACCCGGACGGCGGGUUGAUUUCUGGAAAGGUCAAGGGUUAAACCGAAAAAUGCGAGGGCAGAUCUGUAAAUACUUUCAACGCGAUCUGGACCGCGGGUUGAUUUGCGAAAAAGGCGGGGGCUAAAGUGCAAAAACUGCACGGCGCGGCUCGGUUGACCGGUACGCGAUCUUGAUUGACUCGCGUCCGGCCGUCGGAUUAAGAUCCGACGGUCGCGGUGAUCCGCGACAUCGCGGCGGCGGCGGCGAGCGGCGGCGAGCGGCGGCAAGCGGCGGCGGGUCGCCGGAGUUAGGCAAAAUAGCGCCACGAGGCACGGUUUAACGCGCGGGUUGCACCAAAAAAGAGAGGGGAACACGUCGAUCCCGUUUUGGGGGUUCUUGUCGACGGGGGCUCACCGGCGACGGCGAACGGCGGCGAGGAAGAGGCGGCGGCGCUAGGAGCUCGGGCGGCUAGGGUUUCGGGGAGCUGCGGCGCUGGUUUUGGGCGGAGGAGACUGGGAGGAGGCGGCGGCUUUUAUAGGGCUUGGAGAUAGAGCCGGCGCGGGUUCAAAUCCCCCGGAGGAGUCGGAGCGGAUGGAGUCCGGGGCGGAGACGGCGCGCGGCGGUUGCGGAGUUCUGACCGGAUUCGGCCGGAGGUGGGAGACGAUGGGUGGGGUCCACCCGUCAGUGGCGGAGGGGAGCGGUAGACGGGCCGGCGCGACCGUGGGCUGGCGCGCGCUCGUGGGCUGCGGGGAGCGGGAGAGAAGCGGCGAGCGGGCGCUGGCGGAGCAGGCCGAGCGGAGGUAGAGCUGGGCCGCGGAGAAAAAGGAGGAGGCCGGCGGGCUGCUUCGCAGGCCGGUAAGGAUGAGGCGGCCGGGCCGAAGAAGAAAAAGAAAAGGAGGGACAAGGAGCUUUCGGCCGAGGGAAAAGAAGAAGAAAAAGAAAAGGAAGAAGAAAAGGGAAAAGGUUUUGGAAUUUGAAUUUAAAUCUGAAAUUCAAAAUUUGAUUCAAACUCAAGCAACCAAAAAUUAUGCUCCAGCAUGAAUGCACAAAUAAUUCCUAUGAUGAAUUAAUUGAAUUAAAGAAAAUGAAUUUAAAUGCCUAGAAAUUAAAUAACACCCUAAUUUGAGCAAAUUUUAAUGAAUUUGAAUUAUUGAAAUUUUGGGUGUUACAUUGGUACUACAUCUCAUGUAGUAGAGGCGAUUGUAAGAAGCAACUUGAAAAGAAGUUUGAUCACUACUAUUGCAAUAAAUGUGACAAGAGAGCCGAACCUAAAGCCCAGUAAAUUAUUUAGUAGUUUACAAUCUUAUUAUAAUACUUCUAUUUCUAAUAGGAGAAUAAUAUUUUCAGAUUCAAAUUAAGCUUCAAAUAAGUGAUCCAACAACAAGUGCAACUUGUGUACUUUUGACAAGGAAGCAGAAAUGAUAAUUAAUGAAUGAGCAGAUUCGAUGAUCACCUCAGUUGAUCAUGAUAAUAAGUAGCUACCAAAAUCAAUUCAGGAAAUAUGUGAAGAAACAUUGAUUUCUCAAUUCAGAUUGACCGAGUACAACUUGACAAGUUUUAGACCUGAUUAUACUGUUUCAAAGAUAUUUUUUCCAAAAGAAAAGGGCAGUUCAAGAAUUGGUAUGGAAAGUGUAAAAAAGGUAACACUUUAUUAUUAAUUUUUUAUUGCACUUUUUUCUUUUGAAUCCGUAAUACUUAAUAAUUUUACUAUAUCAAUGAAACAAAUUCUAACCUAAAUUUAUUUUCUUUUUUAUUAUUUGUAGGAAGUAGAAGACAACUCAGACAAAUGCUACACGAUAACUACCGAGAAUGAAGAGGUAGACACUGAUGACUCUUUUACCGAGAAAGUAACAUUCGUAGAAGAAGCCAUAAGGACUGGGGAAAGAUUGGCUAGAAAAGUAUACUCACUUCCAUGUCAGUGUUCAUUCUAUUUACAAUACAUGCAAAAAAAAUAUUAUUCAUGCAAAAUUGCAGGUCUACUAAGCAUUAAAGGAAUAGCGGAUAGUGCAAUAUGUAAUCUGAGCAGCAUGCAUUACAAAGUGCUCUACUGCAAUUAAAUUAAAAAACAUGAUAUAUGUUGAAUUCUUAGACUUUAUUAUUAUACUUUUCUACGUGACAAUUCACAAUUUUUUAGAAAAAAGAAGAUCCCAGAAGAAGUGACCAUGAAAAAAGGUCUAUGACCAGCAAUAAGAAAAAAUGCAAGCAUAGAAACAAAUCCGUAGAAAACAUAGAAAAUAAGGUACUCCAUAAACAAAAGUAUUCUCUUAUAUUUUUAUUAAAUAUUUUUUUAACACUUGACAAGUUCUUUUUUAGGAUCAAUAUAUCAGCAAUUCAGAUGUCAUUGGAGAUGAAACCUUAGUUCAUCCAAAAGGUCAAAAAAAAACAUCUGAAGAAAGGUGUUUGGCUGAAAAGGAAAAGCAAAAAAGUGGUAAUGCAGACAAACACAUGCAGAAAAAUAUAAAAACAUGUCAUAGGGAGGCAGACCAAUCUUGCAAGGAGGUAUAGACGAAACGUGAUACACGACCUGCCUACCUUGUCGUGGAUACCCCAAGAAGAUGUCAUAGAGGUGCAGACCAAGCUAGCAAGGAGGUCGAAACGUGAUACACGGCCUGCCUACCUUGCCGUGGAUAUUAGCCCUGAGAUCAUUCUACUGUUCAAGGAAUAACACUCAAUGCUGCUGCUGCUGCUGACCUGGCUCCAUAAAGUUAUACUCCUCUAGGUGCUUGCACUAACUUUAUCUGAAGUAUUAUUCUCUCUGCACUGUAUAUAUGGUUAUGGAGUUUGCUGGAGUAUCCGGGGCGAAGAACCUACAUAAUACGUCUUGGAACUAAUUGACAUUGAUUCACAGACAAACUCUACAAGGUGCUGUUCUUGCCAUUUUAGAGCAUCCAAAGGACUAUAAAUAACAUAGUUUACCAUAUACCAUAUACCAUAUACCAUAAUAUGUUAGCUAAAAUAAGAGCAUACACAUGUUGCAGGAGUCCAAAAGCACCGGUUGAGGACCAGGUACAUUGAAUUACUAGAAAAAGACAGGGGACAAGGUUUAGGUAACCACAUGAAACAUUUGAAUUUAUUGUACUAUGAACACUUAGUUACCAUGCCAGGAGCACAUAGUUAACACUAACAUUUAGCCACUUUAGAUCAUCCCGAAUCACCAAUGACCCUCAAUAGUGACAAAUUUUGGUUUAAAUGCCAUCACCAAUGAUCCUCAAUAGUGACGUAUUUAGGUUUAAAUCCCGUCACUAAUAACCCUCAAUAGUGACCUGUUUUGGUUUAAAUCUCAUUACCACUGAUCCUCAAUAGUGAUGUGUUUUAGCAAAACAUGUUAUCAAUGACUUGUCAUUGGUGACGUGUUAAAACGCGUUAUCUCAAUGGCAAAUCAUUGGUGACGUGUUAUCUCAAUGUUAUCAAUGUUCUAUUCUUUUCAACAAUACCAGCUCGUUCCUCCGUUUUUAUUCCACCAAUACAAGCACCACCUUGUAACAUUUCCUAUGUUUUUUUUCCUUUUGUCUGUUUUCUCACUACAUGCGUUGCUCUUUCAUGCAUUUUUUUCCAUUCCUGUAUUCCAAAUAGGUCUACAUGAACACAAAAUGAACUAGGGGACAGAAAAAGCCAGUGAAGCCAAUUUUGAGCUUCACCAGCUACUUGCUACAUAAAGUGUGCUAUAGUGACGUGUUUUAGCAAAACAUGUUAUCAAUGACUUGUCAUUGGUGACGUGUUAAAACGCGUUAUCUCACUGGCAAAUCAUUGGUGACGUGUUUUAAAAAAACAUGUCACCGUGAGAGUCAUUGGUGAAGGGUAAUUAAAAUGCGUCACUAAUGUUGUAGCAUUAGUUAUGAUAAUUUAGUAACGCAAAAAUCUACCAUCAGUAUUGAGCUUUAGAGCCAUCGCUAAUGUGGGUUUCUUACAUAGUGAUGCAAGCUCUACAAGGUGCUGUUGCUGCCAUUUUAAAGCAUCCCAUGACUACAUGUUAAUAACAUAGUUUACCAUAUAUCAUAAAAAUAUUAGUUACAAUAAGCACAUACGCAUGUGGAAGAGUCCGAAUGCACCGGUUGAGGACUAAACACAUUGAAUUACUAGAACCAAAUGUAUGUUUAGAACAAAGACAGGGGUCAAGGUUUGGGUAACCGCAUUAAAAACAUUGGAUUUUACUGUACAUGAACACUUAGUUACCAUUACCAUGCCUUGAGCACCUAGUUACAACAAACAUUAAUUUAGCCACUUUAGAGCUUCCAGAAUCGCUAUAAAUAAUAUACCUACGCCGUACCAUGAAAACAUCAAGAAGAGAGACGGAUACAUGGACCACCAUCAAGCGAGUAGUGACAGCACGCACAAGAAUACCCGGAACCUGUUAGCUUGUCUGUAGUGAUCUGUUUUCUUCCCCAUAAAAUCCAUGAGUAUUGCCACAAAUAAUGAAAGAGGCUGACCAAGCUAGCAAGGAGGUAGAGCAAACGUGAUACACGGCCUGCCAAGAUUGCCCUGGAUACGCCAAUAAGAGCGACAGAUACAUGGAUCACACCAAUAUGGUGAAACGUAUAUUCAUCACACAAGCAAAGCUGGUCAGUUUAUCCAUGGUCAAAUUGUGGUCUUUGUUUUCACUUGAGAGCUAAUUGAGGCACUAUAAUAUGGGCAGGCCUAUCUUCAACAGACAUGACAGCUACAGGGAACUUGACAUAAUUUGCUGGGCCGCCUGUGCACAAUUAUUUGUUUUAUUGUCCUUGCAUAGAAUGCUAAAAUACUCUUUACAAAAUGUUGGAUCUAAUAUUUGAAAUAUAGAGUAGUAAUCAUAUAUUGAUCAACAACUUGAAAUUAUCUGUACAUUCUCGGUGAAGCUGUUGAACUAAUUUUUGCAAAUUAUUAAUUCAUCUCAUUACGUAAAGAAAAAAGUAAGUGGAUAAGAUAUUUCGUGGACCACAUCACUGCAAACAUGUCAUGGAGAGACAGACCAAGGAGGCAGGACGUGAUACACGACUUACCCUAGGUUGCCGUGGAACCGCCAAGAAGAGAUACAGAUACAUGGACCACACCAUCUUGGGAGUAGUGACAGCAUAUAUGCAGAAGAAUACCCCGUGCCUAUUUGCAUGCAUGUCUCAAGUGAUCUGUUUUCUUCAGAAAAUACAUGAGCAUUGCCAGAAAGAAUGGCAAGAGACAAACAUGUCAUAGAGACUUGCAUGUCUUGCCUUGGAUACGCCAAGAAGAGGGACACAUACAUGGAUAACACAAAUCUAGUGACACGUAUAUUCAUCACAAAGGCAAAUCUGAUAAUUUUAUCCAUGGAGCAGACCAAGGAGAAAUUGAUGACGGACAUGUGAUCUCUGUAUUCAGUUGAAAGCUAAUUGAGCUACACUAAUAUGAGCAGGACUAUAUUCAAGAGACUUGUUGAGAGCUACAGGGAACUUGUAAUAAUUUGCUGGGCGGCCUGCGCACAAUGAUUUGUUAUACAUAGUUGAAAUAUUUCAAGAAUUUAUCAACCUCAUACUCUGAAACCCUUGGUGCAAUGUACUCUGCUUUCCGAGGUAGACUGUUCACGUAAAAUGAGGUCAUGCGUAAGACGGAAUCGGAUUGGAUUCACAGGGAAUCAGAUUUGGAUAGCACCUUUUAGCAGGUUUUUAGUCAAAUGCAAAUUCGGAUCCACAUGUGGUUGAAUGCGAGUUCAAAAUUCUACUUGGAUAUCCAUUUAAUUUAGGUGAUAGCAAUUAGCACAAAAUGUUGGAUGAACAAAAUCAUAGUUAGACAUACAAUUACAUGUAUGGUUAAAGUAUAAUACAAUACACCAAGAUUAUUCCUUGAAAAUAUUUCUUAAAAAUAUUAUAAUAAAUGAAUAAAUAUAAUUGUGGCCACCAACAAAUAGUCGGUGGUCGCUAAGUUGGAGCCAUUUCUGGUUACUAAUGCGGCCUUCUCCUCGACCAGCGACGACAGCUGAGCUUGUUCCUUCUGACACUAAAUCAUCAGAGUCUUCCCUCCACUACUAUAGAAUGCACCUUUAGCACCAAUUGGGAAAUCCCCUUCAGUAUUGGAUGCUGCAACCAGUGCUAUAUAUCAAAAUGGAGACUAAAAGCCUCGGUCUUGGGUACCGGUUGCAUAACGCAUUACUAAAGGAGGCAAAAGAGAAAUGUAACAAAAAAAAUAUUUUGAAUUCCAAGAAUGUUUCACUAUUCAAGAUGACUAGCUGAGAGUCAACAGACAAGAUACUAGGAAUGUGGGUGCUUGAAUGCAUUUGUACAGAGGUCAUACUAUUUACAAACUCUUCUAUGUUUCCAUAUGACUACCUACUUCAAUGUCACGCGAGCCAUUCAGCUGGACACAUGGCACACUAGCUUGCAUGUCGAAUCCAUGAUUAAUUAUUUGCACUUGUGAUCUCUUACCAGUAUUUGUCCAGACUAGAAACGUGCAACACAUUUUUAGGAUAUGGACACGCAUAUAUUUGGACUAGUAUACAGGUCACCUUUGGAUGCGUACAAGGAUGACCGGGAGGGACUAAUGGAUACAAGGAAGGGACCAUCAGGAUUAAUAUUGACAUAUGCCACAUGACAAUCUUCAUUGUCAUGCAAUCCCUAUCAACAAUCAUGGAAUCCCUAGUGUACUAAUCCCUGGAGGGUUGUGUGGAAAUUUAUUUUACCUUGCGGUGAAAAUCUCAUGAGCAGUCAUUAGUUAAGCUGACUAGCUGAGAUAUAAUAGACAAGCUAGUAAGAUUGGGAGCAUCAAUGCAUCCAUACAGGGUCACAAUAUCCUUUCCAUUCACUUUUAUAUAUAACCCUACGAAUACAAGUCCAACGAAAUGCGGGCCUUUCGAUCAAGAUAAAUUAAAUGGCCCACUUGUAUUUCUAAUCCAGGAUUAACUAUGCCCUCUGUUCAUCUCUUGCAAGCACGUGCAACACAUUUUCACGAUAUGGACAUGCAUGGAGGUUAUUAUACUGUUUGGACAAACUCUGAUGUGCCAUGACCUAAAUGCUUAGGGCCUGUUUGGUUUGAGUUGCUUAUUAUAAGCAACUUAAAGUUGCUUAAAGUUGCUUAUUUGAAGUUGCUUAUUUUUAGUCUAAACUGUUUGGAUACCCUUGCUUAUGAGCAUUGAAUGAGUUGGACAUUGUCAAAUUUGCCCCAUGUGUUGCUACCCCUCCAAUUUGCCUCCCCACCCUUCUUCUUCCUGCACACGUCCGAUCCCGGGGGCCGACGGCGGGCAGGGAGCAGCAGCAGCUGGCCAGGGCGGCGGUGGGGCGGGAGCGGCGGCGCACACCAGCACGCGCUCGCACGCCAGGUGCUAGGGCGCGGCGAGGCAGUCGUCGUAGCCCACCGGGAGCGGGUGCUCGGGCGCGAGGCGGUACUCGACGGAGAUGCCGAGCGUCGGGCGCGCGGCGGCGAGCGCGUUGAGGAAGCGAUGGUAGUGCGGCGACGUCGCGGACUCCGCCACGAAGCCGCCGCCGUGGACGUACACCACCACGGGCAGCUUCGUCUUGCCGUCGGCGGCCGCGGCCGCGGCCUGGGGUGGCAGGUAGAGGCGGACGGAGCAGGAGCCGAGGUCGACGUCCCUGGAGUCGACGCCCGUGGCGGCGUCCAGGCUGGGCCCGACCGGCGGCGGCACGAGCGGGCGCUCGAUGCGGCCGCUCUUGUAAAUCCGACGGGUCUGUGCGGAGGCGGGCGGCGGGCGGGAGCGGCGGGUGGGAGCGGCGGCAGGUGGUGCGGAGGCCGGCGGCGGCGGGUGGCGCGGAGGAAGGGGAGCUGGUGAGUGGUGACAGGGGAGGGGGGGAGAGAGAGGGGGGGUAGGGUGCAUUGAAUGAGGGCAGGAGGUGUAAAGUGCACCUUUUAGUCCCCAUGAGCAACCAUAAGCAGCCCAAGAGUUGCUUAUUUGCUUAUAAUAAGCAACCUCAUAAGCAAGAGUGAUUGGUUUCAUAAGCAACUUAUUUGCUUAUUUUAAGUUGCUUAUGCAUAAGCAUGUGAAACCAAGCAGGUCCUUAACCUAUGGUUGUGGCACCACACAGUACAUAGUAUUUAAUAAUGCUAUUCGUUUGGUAUGUGCACAAGGGCACGCAUGAAAUGUCUGGCCCACGGUAAACAAGUACGGACGCUGCAAAUAAUCUACUCUGCUCGUCCAGUCCCUAGCCUAUAAAUAGAUGCCAUGCUAGCUCUUGUUGUGCUCACAAUUAAUCCUGACUACACACGAGCUUCUCUCCCUGGCCAAGACACAAUCAUAGUAUGAUGAAGAACAUGGCACUAGCCGGCAAUGGUAUGAAGAACUUAAUCCUCGCUGUUCUCUUACUGUGUCUAGUUAUAGGGCAGAUACAAGUGGAAGCUAAGAGCUGCUGCCCAUCCAUUACUGCAAGAAAUAUCUACAAUGCCUGCCGUAUCACGGGUACAUCCCGUCCAACGUGUGCAAAACUGUCAGGCUGCAAAAUUAUCAGCGGGGACAAAUGCAAGCCCCCUAACGACCACCUCACCCUUGACCCGGACACUGGUAAAUAAUAAAUUUAUCUCACUUGAUUUCUUCGUGUUUUGAGUCGUUAAUGUAUUUUCCAUCUGAUGAAACGUAUUGGUUUUGCAUUGAAGAGGAAGUUAAUGUGCUUAACUUCUGCAAGUUGGGGUGUGCGUCGUCUGUGUGCAACAACAUCAACGCUGGUAAGCACCUUUUGCUCAGACGGAGAAAACAAUAAUCAUUAAUUAGCGGCAGCUAGAAUCCUAUAAUCUAAUAUAUUUAUAUAUAUAUAUAAUUUUAUCAGCUCUGGGAAAUGAAGAGGCGAACGAUGCCGUUGAGAGUUGCGACCAAGCCUGCUCUAGCUUCUGCAACGUGCACGUUGGCGCUGCCACCGUGGUUGCUUAAGCAAAUGCAUCCAACUGGAUCGUCCUUGUGCUAAAUAAUUGGAUAUCGUAUCCACUUAAAGCUGCCUUGUGUAGUACGUUUUUGUUUGUGUCUCUCUUUAUAUUCCAAUAAGGUCGGUGAUCUUGAUGCCACACACUCAGACGUGUGUUCAUCUCCAGAUACUACUCCAUGCUACCUGCCCUUUGUGUUUUGUUCAAUAACUGGGUAUCAUAUCCCAGCCAGUGUGCCAUCUGUUUUGUGUUUAUUUCCUUCUAGUUUCAAAGGGGUUAUCAUGAUGUUACCUUCUUUCGAUAUGGUGCUUUGCAUGACUACUGUUGUAUGGUACCAUCUUGUUGGCCAAUAAAUACAUCUUAUCCUAUGACCCUUUGCUAUGACCCUUUGCAAAUAAGUACAAGAUUGUUAAAUACUCGGUAUAAAUUGACUACUGCUGUGAGUUCCCUUUCAGCUUAUCGUAGGCAUACAUUAUUGCUAGCACGGUGAAGACAACCAACACGAAUGGUCAAGUAAACGUACCGGUACUUUUGUAUACCAACACCCUUGCUUAAAUGUACCGGUGUUACUCCCCACUAGCACAUAUAUUCUUAUAUGCUAGCCGGCUUGAAAAUUAACCGAUUAAAAUAAUUAUUUCAAGACAGAAAUAACUUAUCGGCUUCUCGAAGCAUGUGUAAUGUGAAUUCAAGGACUUGAUGGAAGUUGAAUCGCUUAAUCUAGAUUGCUUUCAGGAUUUUGGGUAACUAAAUUUAACAUUUGCACAUACAAAUGUUAAUGUACAAAUAUUAAAUAUAGUUACCCAAGCAGAAUAUGAAGAUACUCUAUAGUAUAUAUAUACUAUAUAAAUCUAGUUAACAUUUAGUCUAAAUGUUAAAUCUAGUUACCUAAAAUCCUGAAAGCAAAAUGUAUAAAUAUAUAUCUUUUAAGGAAUCCCAAAGCAAGAGUUCAGUGGCAUUCUAUAGUCCCAUGCUGCUAGUUUGAGUUGGUCGAAGCCAACUUAAAUAGGAGAGCUCUCUCACUUCUCUAAAUACGUAACUGAAGGAGAGAAGGGGGCUUGGUUACACAACGCACGCACGCACGCAUAUUUGCGUUCUUUUCGCGUAACCAACCGCGUGACUUGAAACUUGCGACGUAGCGUGCUGCCAAGUCAAGUUGAUAUAACCUUUUUGCCGUAGGCGUGUAAUCUUUUGACAACGGUCAUUGGAGGUGAUAAGCACGCAGUCAAUACCUUAAUCCUGAGUUAAUAGGGCGGUUACUACUGCCAAUUAGUGGGGCAAUUUUGUAGGGGAAACGGUUAGCAGAGGGCUACCAUCUUCUCUAUAAGAAGUUCUGGAGACGUCCAGGAACACACAUGUACAUGUGAGAGACCCACGAAUUCCUUCCCAUCUCCCUUUUCCAUCUGGUGAAGUGUGCUAUGGUACUGAGCUGCUGGAUCUCGCCGGCUCUUCUCCUUGGCGUGCACCGAGGAGGAGGGUGAGCGGUAUCUCCGAGCUAUUGCCGUCAGGAAGCCUGCACGAGGGACAACAAUAAAGUUUUUGGGUAGCGCAACUACGCAACCGCUCGAUUCGAUCGACUAUGUUCUGCGCUGCCUCAUCUUCGAUCUGCACUGCAACACGUAACCCUGCAGCAAGUCUACACAAGGACGGAGCACUAAUCUGUAAGUCCUAGAUUGGUUUCUUACAGAGUUGUAGGUUACACAAGAUCUAGAAUUGUUACAUACUUAUUAUUAUGGGUUACAUGAUGUUUUGUACGGUUACGUCUAUUUUGCAUAUGCUAUUUUUACAUACCGUUUACAUGCAUAUGUAAUGGUUACGCCUAGCUAUUUGAAUCUAGAAUUGGGUUACAUAGCAGUAGCAAUGACUUACGUAAUAUGCCUCAUGUUUAUAUCUGGUAGAAUUUAACACGUAUCUCCAACAUAUUUUGAGGCAGUAUAAAUUUCAAUUCCUUUUGCUGCUCUGUUAAAUCCCGUCUUUCGUGUGGCCCAACACUCUAGUAUGCAUGUAGCACCAAGCUUGUUUGAGCCGCUUUGUGCUCUGAUUUUGCUGUCUGUAUCAGGUUGGACUGUUUCUUUGUCUUGCGAUGUAUAGCUUCAUAUCUUCUAGAGGUUAGACAGCAAAACCCGCGUUCUCUUAAGGCAACAACUCGAAGAAUCUGCAGCGCUCCUGAUAUAUCACUGCUGCAGAAACAAUCUUUAGUACUGAUUUCCAACCCCCUUUAGUAUCGGUUUGGCAAUCAGUACCACUACGUCGGUACUAAAGGGAGUUCUCUAGAAUCGGGUCAAAUAACUGGUACUAAAAGUGCUCCUCUACUACCAGUUGGUAACACCAAUAGGUAGUAACUUUUUUUGCACCCAAAAAAUUAAAGAAAAACAGCCGGGAGGCUCGCGCACACACGCAUCAUGAGUAAUAUGCGCGUGCAUGGUUUGUGGGAUUCCAACCCACGACCAAGCUAUAAGCACGUAGUUACAAAAAAAUUAAACACUUAGACAUUUUAGAGCAUCCCAAAUAACUACAAAUUCUUUAGUUUACCAUAUACCAUAAAAUAUUAGUUAAAAUAAGAGCAUACGCACGUCGGAAGAGUCCCAAUGCACCGGUUGAGGAUCAGACCAGGCACUUUGAAUGCACAUGCCAUAAGAUAAUUCUGCAGGACGAUGAUUGCAAUAAUGGACCAUCGAGAAGAUAGGGGCGAUGGGGUUGCCUCAUCAAUUAUGACUUGGCGCAACAAGACCAGCAAAGUCUUUAUCGACAGGGGUGGAUCAAGGGGUGGGGCGGGUAGAGCUCCAAUCUUCCUACCGCCGCUCGAACAAUGGAGCCCCCCUUAGCCCCUCCAUAAAUUUUUAGGUAGAAGAAAAAAGAAGAGAAGGGAAGGAAGGGGAAGAAUAGGGAGCCCCUCCUAAGUAGGUCGCCAUCGUGCUUCCCAACGCAUGAUCGCCGCACCGCAUCCAUUCCUCUACAAGCCUCCAGCGUCUCUCCUGCCGCUACCUCUGAACCAUGUGCAGCUGCAGACCCAACUAGUGUCUUGUCACCCAUCUCAAUCCCAACAGAGCGGCGGCUCCUGCCAGCACAAAUCUCCCUCCGCCUGUUCUUCACGAUCGAUGGCCACCACAAGCAUAAACCUCGCCUUCGCAUCCACGCAAAAGGGUCGCCGGUGUGCCUUCUCGCAUCGCUUCUCAGCCUCCUUCACUUGCGGCUGGCCAAGAACCGUGCCACCACCUCGGGUGCGCGCCACCGCUCCAGGGCCGCUACCCCAUGCGUGCGGCCGCCGCCGGCCACCACGCGUGUGCAACCGUGUCGCACCGCUUCCCUGCUCUGUGCCACCACUGCUACUGCACCACCAGCUCCACCACCUUGGGCUGGUCGCCAGGGUGACUGAUUGGUGGAUUAUUACUACAAAUAAGUUCCUUAUUAUCUGCAACUACUAUUAACUCAGGGAUACAUGCGUCUUUUGCUUCUCCUGUUAAUAUGUCCUAAAAUAUCUAGAAUGCCUUAUAUUUCUGGACGGAGGAAGUAUUUGAAUAAAAUGAACCAAUUUUAAAAAAUGUGUUGUACACUACUACAGAAAGAACUAUCAGUGUCAAACCCAAAAAUGUCGUCACUGCCAGUUUUGGGCAUCGUUGGUGAAAGGUUGGCGGUGAUGGGUAUCCCCUUCAACAACGGCACUAGAGCUAACAGUGAUUGACAUUAGAAAACGAAAAAGGGGACCCACCUAGCCACCCCUGCAACCCGGCUGGCCGUGCCUCCCGUCAUCCCCACCACCUCGCCUCCCCCGUGACCCCCCGCCGGCGCCCUUGCGCCUAGCCCCCUCGCCUGCCUGGCCGGCCACCCUCGUCACGAGAGAGAGGGGUGCAUGUUGUAUAAUUGCGUGAAUUUUUAAUGUUUAAUUUCAUGUAAGUUUCAUAUAAUAAAUUGUACAAGUUUUAUUGUAUAUAUGAAUUCCAUAUAUAUAUAUUUAUAAUUUAAUGUAUGGUUUCAUGUGUAUAUUUCAAUAAUGUGUAUAUUUAGUAGAUAGCCGAUUUUCUUUUUCUACAAGACAAGGGUUGAUGUAUAAUUACGUGUAUAUGUUUAUUGUACGGGCAAUUAGGACAAGUUUUGUAUAAAUUUCUUUUAUUUCAUGGUUGUUGUAUGGUUUCAUGUAUAUACAUUUAUUGUACUACUUGAGACAAUUUUUAAUUUAAUGUUUCUAUGGUUACAUGUGUGUAUAACUAAUUGUAUUAUUAGUUAAGAUGGGAGCCAAAGAGGAUGAAAGGUAUAUAAUGGAGCAGAUUAUUGCUGGCGGUAGUGGCUCAAACGUUGCAAGAACCUACAUCAAGGGUGAGGGUAGCUAGGUGGACAUGUACCUCAACAUGUCCAGUGAUGGCAAUGACGAUGAGGAGCACGAGCAUGACGUUUAUGAUAGUGCGGAACAAGACAUUGCAGAAUUGGAAGGUUCUAAUGAGGUGUGCUUCAUGUUGAUGAUCUGGUUGGCUUUUUUUCUUUGGUCACACCUUAGUUACCAUAGAACUUCGUCUCGGGAGAAGAUUGGAGGUGCUAUGGUGAUUGGAAUUUUAUUGCCUCCAAAUAUGAUUUCCAUCGAAUCAUAUCCCUUGUAUUUAUCUUCUUUUUAUUUGUGAGAGCAUCUUCUUUAUGCUUGCAAAACAAUUCAAGUGCACAUACUACACCUAGGGUGAUGAUUAGGAGUAGAAACAAUUGCCAACAAACGAACACCACAUCCUAAGAUUCUUAACUUGUGGUAUAAUUAGUCUAGUAAAAAGAAAGAUAAAAACCUAAUGGGUGUACGUGAGUGCAAUGCGUAUAUGCAUAUGAGUGGAAGGCAUAUAAGCAAAGAUAAUAUUUACACAUAGAUCUAAGCACCAUGUUUACAACUAAGUUGCUGAAUUUCUCCAUAGCUAUAGAGAUUAAUGAACCAAGGUCAAAACACCAUGUCUAUCCCAAGAUCAGUAAUUCUUUAUAGCACAAGAAAAAGAAAGCGCAUUGCAAAGUUUAUAAACCAACCAAUGCAGCAUGAAAACAAGAUGAAUAGCUAGCAAGGUUUAUUAAACUGAAUGAUGACGGUCUGCAAGCAAGUUUGAACACCAUCUUUACACAAGAUUGCAAAUGGAAAAUUCCCAUAUGAAGAACUAACAUGGAUAUGAAAUCAUUCAUCAUAAAGCGUAAAGAACAACCAAGCCAACCAUAUGCAAAGCAUGAAUGGAAUGCAAUGAAGGUGCAAGAGAACAUUUUUGGAUGAACCCAUUAUGAUGAUGGCAAAAUGCGCCGUGCCCCCCAGCCCCCGCGGUGAGAUCCCGCCGCUCGCUGCCGCCAGACCCUAUUAGGCCUCCACCGGCAGGUCCACCCACGGUCCCGCGCGACGUGGCAGCCUCUUGGCUCUCGGCGCUCGCGGCACGCCAGUGCUGGCGCAGCCCCACCAGGCGACUACCCUCCCCCCAUAAGGCCUCGGCCCCUCCCCAGCGCCGCCCCCCAACACCAGGACUGCCUGCUGCCCCCCACCGUGAGGUAAUCGAAAUCGACUGCUCAAUCUCUCAAUCUGUUGAUAUGAUGCACACGGUUGCAAAAAUAGAUGUGUCAAAAUAGAUGUUUUGCCAAUUGCUAUAGAUGCAUACGGUUGACAUGAAGUCAAAAAUGACAUUUGGUUCCUUGUAGGCAGUCAAAAAUGAAGAAGUCAAAAAAUAUUGAUCUGAAAUCAAUGUGGGAAAGGGCUAUGAAGACACGCAGGUAGAUUCCCUUGUGAACUUUUUAUGUCGUUCGUCUAAAUAAUUUUUUGCAAUGGGCAUACCCUACUCUGAAAUCCUGGGUCCGCCACUGAUGAUGAUGGUCUAAAAAUAAACCAAGCCUAGAUUAAUUAGCCACAACUGAAAUUAAGCAAAGGUUAAUGUCAUUGACCCUAGCUCUAUCCUAGCUUUUACCAAAGUUCCGGCACAUAUAGUGGUUGGGCCCACUCUCUCUGCUUCCCUCUCUGCUGCAUGCACGCACACGAGCAACGGGAGGCCCGACGAAGCCCAGAAGGGUUCGGCCGAACCAGUAUGAGCGCCGCUCCCUCCCAGCCUUCGCGCAGAUGCUCCUCCAACGUUCCUUGACCCCUCCCUCAGCGUCCCGUUGGGUUUAACAUUGCAGGAGAGGAGUCCCUUUUUUAAAAUCUCAACCACCUCCUCUCCCCAUUCACUCCACUCUCAUCUCCAUCAAACUCACCAAGAUCCGCACCGGAAAUCCCUGCUUACCACCAUGGCUGGCAAAGCCCUCAUCCCUUUCACCAACUUGGGCUUGACCACUGAUCUCGAUGGGGAAAUCACUCUGGCAAAUAUGCGUGUAACACUGCCCCCUUUGCCGAGGGUUAAAGCCAAAACACUCAGCAAAGUGGAUAGUACCCCCCUUUUUACCCGUUUUGUCAUGUAUAACGGACCCCUCUCAAUUCACAAUAGACAUCAUCAUAGGCAUUUAUAAUAAACAAUCACAGGCAUAAUUCACAAUCACCAUUACAAGCAUUAUUCAUAAAUAUCACAGACAUAAUCCAAAGUAAGCAUGAAACAAGCCAUAAAUCCAAGUUCAAGUCACAACUAAGUUUCAUCCAAGUUCAAGUCACAAAUGCAAUGUCUAAAUCCAUGGAGGCCAAGGAGACCACUGCGACAAAUCUUGGUCUUCAUUAUUCGAAGCCGCCGAUUGAUUCUGCACAUAGGAUAGGACAUUCUGAGCUAACAUCUAAAGUUGUCAAAAUUAAAGUAUUCAAUCUUAAGCACAAUGUGUCAAAUGACUCACAGGAGUAGUUGUGGGUGGCUGAGGCGGAGGGAACAGCAUCGAUGGCGGUGGCAAAGAUUGACCCAUGCUCGAAGCAAAAUUCUGCAUGUACUGGAACAUCUGGUCCAUCCUCAUCCGAUUUUCUUCCUCCAUCCUCUGCCGCUCGGCCUCUAACCUCCGCUGAACCAUCUGCUCCAUCCUCGCCGCCAUCUCCUCUUGUUGCUUCCUUGCUGCUUCCACCUGGGCCUACAAUAUUUCAUUGCAAUGUUACAAUGCAAAGCUAAAGUAUAGCAACCAACGAACAAUGAAUGGAAGAGAAAGAACCUGGAGAGCCUCCAUCUGGAACUGUCCAAUGGUUGGUCGUAGCCGUAUCGCCGGGCUCGAGUCCGUGCUCCUUGCUUGGAUCUGGGAGAGAGUGGCAGUAGAGGCCGUGUUGAUUACGCCGUCGCCAAUCCAAUAUCGGCCAUGCUUCUUGCCUCCUCCCACCCUCAUCACGAUUUCUCCAUCAAUAUCCUCAGAGCUUGAAUCGAAGUCUGGCCCGUGAACCUCCCUUGCCAUCACUGUAUAUUCCUUUGCCGAGUGCCCGAGAUAAAGCACUCGGCAAAUAGAAAACACUCGGCAACUUUACUGUUUCCCGUAGUGUCGCUAUUUUUGCAGGUUCUCGACCAGGCCAGUUCUUUGGGCCAACCUAUCAUUCACGACUUAAACAUACGGUGGCUGUAGAAAUGUUCUAUUCUUUUCAACAAUACCAGCUGGUUCCUCCGUUUUUAUUCCACCAAUACAAGCACCACCUUGUAACAUUUCCUAUGUUUUUUUUUCCUUUCGUCUGUUUUCUACAUGCGUUGCUCUUUCAUGCAUUUUUUUCCAUUCCUGUAUUCCAAAUAGGUCUACAUGAACACAAAAUGAACUAGGGGACAGAAAAAGCCAGUGAAGCCAAUUUUGAGCUUCACCAGCUACUUGCUACAUAAAGUGUGCUAUAGUGACGUGUUUUAGCAAAACAUGUUAUCAAUGACUUGACAUUGGUGACGUGUUAAAACGCGUUAUCUCAAUGGCAAAUCAUUGGUGACGUGUUUUAAAAAAACAUGUCACCGUGAGAGUCAUUGGUGAAGGGUAAUUAUAAUGCGUCACUAAUGUUGUAGCAUUAGUUAUGAUAAUUUAGUAACGCAAAAAUCUACCAUCAGUAUUGAGCUUUAGAGCCAUCGCUAAUGUGGGUUUCUUACAUAGUGAUGCAAGCUCUACAAGGUGCUGUUGCUGCCAUUUUAAAGCAUCCCAUGACUACAUGUUAAUAACAUAGUUUACCAUAUAUCAUAAAAAUAUUAGUUACAAUAAGCACAUACGCAUGUGGAAGAGUCCGAAUGCACCGGUUGAGGACUAAACACAUUGAAUUACUAGAACCAAAUGUGUGUUUAGAACAAAGACAGGGGUCAAGGUUUGGGUAACCGCAUUAAAAACAUUGGAUUUUACUGUACAUGAACACUUAGUUACCAUUACCAUGCCUUGAGCACCUAGUUACAACAAACAUUAAUUUAGCCACUUUAGAGCUUCCAGAAUCGCUAUAAAUAAUAUACCUACGCCGUACCAUGAAAACAUCAAGAAGAGAGACGGAUACAUGGACCACCAUCAAGCGAGUAGUGACAGCACGCACAAGAAUACCCGGAACCUGUUAGCUUGUCUGUAGUGAUCUGUUUUCUUCCCCAUAAAAUCCAUGAGUAUUGCCACAAAUAAUGAAAGAGGCUGACCAAGCUAGCAAGGAGGUAGAGCAAACGUGAUACACGGCCUGCCAAGAUUGCCCUGGAUACGCCAAUAAGAGCGACAGAUACAUGGAUCACACCAAUAUGGUGAAACGUAUAUUCAUCACACAAGCAAAGCUGGUCAGUUUAUCCAUGGUCAAAUUGUGGUCUUUGUUUUCACUUGAGAGCUAAUUGAGGCACUAUAAUAUGGGCAGGCCUAUCUUCAACAGACAUGACAGCUACAGGGAACUUGACAUAAUUUGCUGGGCCGCCUGUGCACAAUUAUUUGUUUUAUUGUCCUUGCAUAGAAUGCUAAAAUACUCUUUACAAAAUGUUGGAUCUAAUAUUUGAAAUAUAGAGUAGUAAUCAUAUAUUGAUCAACAACUUGAAAUUAUCUGUACAUUCUCGGUGAAGCUGUUGAACUAAUUUUUGCAAAUUAUUAAUUCAUCUCAUUACGUAAAGAAAAAAGUAAGUGGAUAAGAUAUUUCGUGGACCACAUCACUGCAAACAUGUCAUGGAGAGACAGACCAAGGAGGCAGGACGUGAUACACGACUUACCCUAGGUUGCCGUGGAACCGCCAAGAAGAGAUACAGAUACAUGGACCACACCAUCUUGGGAGUAGUGACAGCAUAUAUGCAGAAGAAUACCCCGUGCCUAUUUGCAUGCAUGUCUCAAGUGAUCUGUUUUCUUCAGAAAAUACAUGAGCAUUGCCAGAAAGAAUGGCAAGAGACAAACAUGUCAUAGAGACUUGCAUGUCUUGCCUUGGAUACGCCAAGAAGAGGGACACAUACAUGGAUAACACAAAUCUAGUGACACGUAUAUUCAUCACAAAGGCAAAUCUGAUAAUUUUAUCCAUGGAGCAGACCAAGGAGAAAUUGAUGACGGACAUGUGAUCUCUGUAUUCAGUUGAAAGCUAAUUGAGCUACACUAAUAUGAGCAGGACUAUAUUCAAGAGACUUGUUGAGAGCUACAGGGAACUUGUAAUAAUUUGCUGGGCGGCCUGCGCACAAUGAUUUGUUAUACAUAGUUGAAAUAUUUCAAGAAUUUAUCAACCUCAUACUCUGAAACCCUUGGUGCAAUGUACUCUGCUUUCCGAGGUAGACUGUUCACGUAAAAUGAGGUCAUGCGUAAGACGGAAUCGGAUUGGAUUCACAGGGAAUCAGAUUUGGAUAGCACCUUUUAGCAGGUUUUUAGUCAAAUGCAAAUUCGGAUCCACAUGUGGUUGAAUGCGAGUUCAAAAUUCUACUUGGAUAUCCAUUUAAUUUAGGUGAUAGCAAUUAGCACAAAAUGUUGGAUGAACAAAAUCAUAGUUAGACAUACAAUUACAUGUAUGGUUAAAGUAUAAUACAAUACACCAAGAUUAUUCCUUGAAAAUAUUUCUUAAAAAUAUUAUAAUAAAUGAAUAAAUAUAAUUGUGGCCACCAACAAAUAGUCGGUGGUCGCUAAGUUGGAGCCAUUUCUGGUUACUAAUGCGGCCUUCUCCUCGACCAGCGACGACAGCUGAGCUUGUUCCUUCUGACACUAAAUCAUCAGAGUCUUCCCUCCACUACUAUAGAAUGCACCUUUAGCACCAAUUGGGAAAUCCCCUUCAGUAUUGGAUGCUGCAACCAGUGCUAUAUAUCAAAAUGGAGACUAAAAGCCUCGGUCUUGGGUACCGGUUGCAUAACGCAUUACUAAAGGAGGCAAAAGAGAAAUGUAACAAAAAAAAUAUUUUGAAUUCCAAGAAUGUUUCACUAUUCAAGAUGACUAGCUGAGAGUCAACAGACAAGAUACUAGGAAUGUGGGUGCUUGAAUGCAUUUGUACAGAGGUCAUACUAUUUACAAACUCUUCUAUGUUUCCAUAUGACUACCUACUUCAAUGUCACGCGAGCCAUUCAGCUGGACACAUGGCACACUAGCUUGCAUGUCGAAUCCAUGAUUAAUUAUUUCCACUUGUGAUCUCUUACCAGUAUUUGUCCAGACUAGAAACGUGCAACACAUUUUUAGGAUAUGGACACGCAUAUAUUUGGACUAGUAUACAGGUCACCUUUGGAUGCGUACAAGGAUGACCGGGAGGGACUAGAAAUGGUCUAGUUUUGAUUGGACUACAAAACUUUUUGUACAGUGAAUAGAGAAUAUAUAUUAUUGUUGGAAUACGAGGUAGGCUACACUAUCGCAAUUCUGAUAUUCUACCGCGUAUAACCAAGAAGAACUGUCGUAUAAGGAUCACGGGAUUACCACUCGACGCACUACUGGUGCGGAAGAUGUAGAUAUGCGUCGAUGCAGUGAAGACGAUCACGUAGUCGUAUGUAGUCGAUCAACGUAGUCGUACAUAGUCGAUCACGUCCAGCAGCUCCUCAGCAGCUCGUCCACGUGCAGCAAGAUCGCCUCCGGUACCGCGGCUCGUCGUUGGCUUGUCGUGGCUCGUCGACGGCUCGUCGGCGGCUCGUCCAAGUGCUGCAGGCGCAACACCUCCAAGGUAUCCACACGUGCAGGGAGGAAGCGUCGCAAGCCGGACUGCUAGAUCCACGAGUUGCAACAGGCGAGGGCGUGGGAGGCGCGGCAGGUGUGUUUCGCCAAAAAGGUGUAAACCCUAGGGCGCCCCCACCCCUCUAUUUAUAGAGGUUCCUGACGGGCCUCUGGAUCCGAGGCCCAUUAGUACUUCUAAACCUAAUCCAACUCGGAUCAGAUCCGAAUUGGGCUUCCAGCCCCUUAAGUGUGUGACCCUAUAAGUUCGGAUACGUAUAGACAUGGCCCGAGUACUCCUACUCGGCCCAAUAGUCGGUAGCGGCCUCUAGCAAGACGUGCCAACUCCUAUACGCACACGAAGAUCAUAUCAGACGAACCAUCACAACAUAAUAUACAUGCUAUUCCCUUUGCCUCACGAUAUUUGGUCUAGCUUCAAGCCGACCGCUCUUUCUCAGUCCUGUGAUUCGGAAUCCCUUUGUAGGUUAACUCUUAACCGUACGUAGCAUGGCCAUGCAUUUUCGGAUCUGAUCACUCGAGGGGCCCAGAGAUAUCACUCUCAAUCAGAGAGGGGCAAAUCCCAUCUUGAUUGACCAUGUCUCAUAGCAUGCUUCUUGACAAACCUAAAAACUACCUUUAUAACUUCCCUGUUACGGCGUAGUGUUUGAUAGCUCCUAAGUAGGUCGAUCCACAUCUAGAAUACAUGCGACAAUUUCAGGUCUAAGGACAAAGCGUAUAUGUUGUUUAAAGAGAGAACUACUUCUCGUGUUGGGUCAGUCCCAGCACAUGUCUCCACAUGUGUCCACAUUAUUAGUUCAACAUCUCCAUGUCCAUGACUUGUGAAACAUAGUCAUCAACUAAUACAUGUGCUAGUCUAAUAUUCAUGUGUGUCCUCACAUGAACUCCGACUAGGGACAACUUUAGAAUAACCAUACAAGUAAAGAGUUUCACAUACAAUUCACAUAAUUGCAAAUCAAUUCAAGUAGCCUUCAAUGGAUAUUCAAUGAACACAACAUACAAAUCAUGGAUACAAAUGGAAUAUCAUCAUCUCUAUGAUUGCCUCUAGGGCAUACCUCCAACAGUCUCCCACUUGCACUAGAGUCAAUCUAGAAGGUACCUAAUACCCAUAGCUCUUACAUGCGCAUCAUGCUUAGCCUGCGGGAGUGGUUUUGUCAACGGAUCAGAAAUGUUCAGAUCCGUGUGUAUUUUGCAUAUCUUGAUCUCACCCCGGUUAACGAAGUCUCGAAUGAGAUGAAAUCGCCGCAUUACAUGUUUGUUCUUCUGGUGGUUCCUUGGCUCCUUUGCUUGCGCAAUUGCCCCAUUGUUAUCACAGUAGAGAUUCAAUGGGCUGGACCCAUUCGGGAACACACCAAGCUCAAUGAGGAAAUUCCUUAUCCAAACACCUUCCUUCGCGGCUUCCGAAGCCGCGAUGUACUCGGCUUCUGUCGUAGAAUCGGCCACCGUCUCCUGCUUGGAACUCUUCCAACUAACAGCACCACCAUUUAGCGUGAACACAAAUCCUGUUUGUGACUUUGAAUCAUCUCUGUCGGUUUGGAAACUAGCAUCGGUGUAACCUGUUACAACGAGCUCCUCCUCACCUCCAUAGACGAGGAAUAUAUCUUUAGUCCUUCUCAAGUACUUAAGAAUGUUUUUCACCGCUGUUCAGUGACUCUCACCUGGAUCAGAUUGGUGUCUGCUUGUCAUACUUAGCACAUAUGAAACAUCUGGGCGAGUACUUAUCAUUGCAUACAUGAUAGAUCCAAUAGCCGAGGCAUAUGACACUCUACUCAUGUGAUCCCGCUCAUCAGCAGUCGAAGGACACUGAGUCUUGCUGAGAUGUAUGCCAUGUGACAUAGGCAAGAACCCUUCCAUGCUGAACCGCUUCAACACUUUGUCAAUGUAAGUAUCUUGGCUUAAACCUAUAAGCCUUCUCGAUCUAUCUCUAUAGAUCUUAAUGCCCAGAAUAUAUGCCGCUUCCCCUAAGUCCUUCAUCGAAAAACUAUUUUUCAGUGAAGUCUUUAUGGACUCAAGCAUAGGAAUGUUAUUUCCAAUCAGUAAUAUGUCAUCCACAUAUAAGAUUAGAAAUACUACAGAGCUCCCACUAACCUUCUUGUAAACACAAGACUCUUCUUCGUUCUUGGUGAAGUCAAACCCUUUGACCACUUCAUCAAAACGAAUGUUCCAACUCCUAGAUGCUUGCUUCAAUCAAUAAAUGGAUCUCUGAAGCUUGCAUACCUUUCCAGCAUUUUUCGGAUCGACAAAACCCUUGGACUGUAUCAUAUACACGUCCUCAGUUAGGUUUCCAUUCAGGAAAGCUGUCUUGACAUCCAUCUGCCAUAUCUCAUAAUCGAAAUAUGCAGCCAAACUUGAUUGUCUCCCAUGGACUCUAUUUCGGAUUGCAUGGCAUUCUGCCAUUUUUCGGAGUCUGGGUCCAUCAUUGCUUCUGCAUAUGUCACAGGCUCAUCAUUGUCCAACAAUAAUAUUUCCUGCAUUUCGCGGAGCCUUGCCGACCUUCGUGGUUGUGGCGGUGCUUCUCUUGCCAUGGGUAUCUCAACUUGUUCUGCUACGUUAGCAUCACUCAUUGAUUCUUGCCCGAUCGGCUCAUCUUGAACUUCUUCAAGAUGCACUGUCUUUCCACUCUUUUCUCCUUUGAGAAACUCUUUCUCUAGGAAAACCCCGUUCCGAGCGACAAACACUUUGCCUUCUGAUCAGUUGUAAAAAUAAUAUCCCAAAGUUUCCUUUGGAUAUCCCACGAAAAUGCACUUAUCCGACUUGGGUGCGAUCUUGUCCGACUGAAGUCGCUUGACAAACACAUCACAUCCCCAAAUCUUUAGAAAAGACAAACUAGGAACCUUUCCAGUCCAUAUCUCAUAUGGUGUCUUAACUACGGAUUUAGAUGGUACCCUAUUAAGUGUGAAAGCUGCUGUUUCUAGAGCGUAUCCCCAAAAUGACAACGGUAGGUCCGACUGGCUCAUCAUUGAUCGAACCAUGUCUAACAAAGAUCGAUUACGUCGCUCGGACACACCGUUUCUCUGAGGUGAUCCAGGCGGCGUAAGUUGUGGAACAAUUCCGCAACUCUUUAGAUGAUUGCUAAACUUGUGGCUCAAAUACUCGCCUCCACGAUCAGAUUGUAAGGCCUUAAUUUUCUUGACACGCUAAUUUUCAACUUCAUUCUGAAAAUCCUUGAACUUUUCAAAGGUUUCAGACUUGUGCCUCAUCAAGUAGACAUAGCCAUAUCUACUAAAAUCAUCAGUGAAAGAUAUGAAGUAUUGGAAUCCUCCUCUAGCCGUCGUGCUCAUUGGUCCGCAUACAUCACUAUGUACGAGUUCCAACAAGUCUACUGCUCUCUCAGGAAAUCCUGUGAAAGACGUCUUGGUCAUCUUGCCUAGCAAGCAAGCCUCACAUGUCUCGUAUGAUUCAAAAUCAAACGAAGUUAGAAGUCCAUCAGAAUGGAGCUUCUUCAUGCGUUUUUCACUUAUAUGACCCAAACGACAAUGCCACAAGUAGGUAGGACUCAAAUCAUUAGGCCGAGGCCUUUUAGCACUUACAUUACAGACAGGUGAACCAUCAAGAUUUAAAACAAAUAAUCCAUUCACAAUGGGUGCAAAAGCCAUAAACAUAUUAUUCUUAGAGAUCACACAACCAUUGUUUUCACUCGCAAAUGAAUAACCAUCCUUCAUCAAGCAUGAAGGAGACAAAAUGUUUCGACUUAAACUAGGAACAAAAUAACAAUUAUUCAACUCCAUAAUAAAUGCUGACGGGAGGUGGAGUUGCAUCGUCCCGACGGUCAACGCAGCAACUCUUGCAUUAUUGCCCACGCGGAAAUCAACUUCUCCUCUUUCCACGCUUCUACUUCUUAUCAUUCCCUGCAUCGAAUUGCAAAUAUGAGCAACCGAUCCGGUAUCAAAUACCCAAGAAUUAAUAAUUGUAUCAGCGAGAAAUAUGUUGUCUAUGACAUUAACAACAAGCGUACCUGAGGUAGAAGUACUCUUACUUCCUCCAUUCUUCAACGAAGCUAGGUACUGCUUGCAGUUUCUCUUCCAGUGACCAAGUUCAUGACAGUAAAAGCACUCUUUGUCUGGAGCAGGUCCAGGUCCAGCUUUAACCUUGGGCGCUCGCUGGGUUUGGCUUGGAAAUUCCAGCCUUGCCCUUCUUCUUCCAAGAAUUGCCCUUCUUCUUAAAGCUAGGCUUGUUCUGUAUAGCCAUCACAUGGCUAGUACAAGCGCUUUUCUUGAUGUCUACCUCUGCUGUCUUGAGCAUACCACACAGUUCAUUCAAACCCUUCUCCGUCCCAUGCAUAUGGUAGUUCGAGAUGAAGUUCCCAUAGCUAGGCGGAAGAGAUGAAAGAAUGAAGUCAGUGGCCAACUCUUUGCCCAUUGGGAAGCCCAGCUUCUCCAAUCGCUGAGUGUAACCAACCAUGUUGAUUACAUGUGGUCCUACUGCUGCGUCUUCUGCUAGCUUGCACUCCAGAAAAGCUUUGGACACAUUGAACCUUUCAGUCCUAGCCUGUGUCUGGAACAUGUCCUUGAGCGCCACGAUCAUAUCGUGUGCCUCAUGAUUUGUUUCGAACUGCAUCUGCAGCUCGGGUUCCAUGCAAGCAAGCAUAAGGCAGCUUACCUCAAGAUUAGCAUCAAAUGCCUUCUUGUAAGCAGCCUUAACGGCAGCAGAUGCAUCAUCAGCAGGUACUGGUGGUAGUGGGGUAUCUAGAACAUCUUCCUUUUUAUCGGCCCUGAGAACAAUUCUCAGGUUACGGAUCCAAUCCGAGUAGUUUGUUCCAUUCAACUUGUCCUUCUCAAGGACCGAGCGCAAAGCAAACGAUGUGGUGGUGUUGCUAGGUGCCAUUUAAUCUACAACAAAAGUAAUGCAAAAUACACUAAGACAAACGUAUCCAUGAUAGAGCAAAUUACAUUAAACUAUUUUAACAGAAUCUACUCCCACUAAAAUCAAUAUCCCUCUAUUGAAACUUAGUGAUUCAGGAUCCACAACUAACAAGUCUACUAGUGAGCUUUAGCAUCACCGCUAGCAAACGAGGUAGAUCGGUAAGCAACUUUUGCUAAUCAUAUCACAUAUGACUCCUGUUGUUGGGUGACAUCUCCAUGUCUCGGCGCCCAACCAUUAUGCCCCAAGGUCCUUAACCGUUAAGAUGACCUCGUUAAGCAAACCAACCCUUAUGCGUGUAAGUGUCCGACACAAACCCGUCUAGUCAAGGAAAACUAGUGGCACCCUAAUUUCAUAGACCCACCACUAAUUGUACAAGACAUGGGACGGUGCAAGUUUUAGUUGGGAGGGCAUACUAACUUAAAUUUUUUGUGAGGGAUCGUUCUACUUCUAACAUCACAGCAUGCAGAAAGUAAAACAUAAACAGAAUAGCAUUCACACAGCUGUGACACAGUAUGGCCCGUUUUUAUAUGGUGAUCUCCAUCUCCAUAGAACCUGUUCACCAUGGUGAUCUCCAUCUCCAUGUUCCAUGUGCGCCAUCCUCCUGGUGAGGAGUCCUCCAAGAACUAGAACAUGCUAUUACACCUAAUAGCUAGUAAAGAAUCUAGUAAUGAAGAUUACAUAGUUGCUUGGAUCAUCACAGAUUGGUACGCAGACCAUUAAAUACAAUAAAGUGACAACACAUAUGGCUCCUGCCGUGUUGCCGUACGCGCGACACGCAGGUCACGAAUGAGUUACACACAUGCAUCACAUACACAAGGGGGCCAUACUGAUCACAAGAUACAUACAUACAUCCUGCAAAACAGAGUUAGGCGUCCUAACGUUCCAAACUUCGAAGGCCCGAAACUCCAUCUUCCAAGCCGAAUUUGGGAAAUCUAAUUUUGCCGAAAACGGCAAAGCGGUUGAAUUUCAUGUGUAACUUUUUCUGUAGAUCAAUUUUCAUAUAAAAUUCGCCCCGAUCCGAGAUCGUACCGAAAAGUUACGGCUGAUUUACCGAAGCAUACGCAUACGGCAAAAAUUCCGACCCCGGCAGUAGAUCCCAUCUACUAUUGCACAUCUAAUGCGCCUGGCGUAUGAUCCUGGAUUUCGAUUCGACCAAUCAUAUUGAUCUUCGCUCACUGCAACUGGAAUUACGUGUAUCACUUAACUCGUCGGCGGCUCGUCGGCGGCUCAUCCAAGUGCUGCAGGCCCAACACCUCCAAGGUAUCCACACGUGCAGGGAGGAAGCGUCGCAAACCGGACUGCUAGAUCCGCGAGUUGCAAUAGGCGAGGGCGUGGGAGGCGCCGCAGGUGUGUUUCGCCAAAAAGAUGUAAACCCUAGGGCGCCCCCACCCCUCUAUUUAUAGAGGUUCCUGACGGGCCUCUGGAUCCGAGGCCCAUUAGUACUUCUAAACCUAAUCCAACUCGGAUCAGAUCCGAAUUGGGCUUCCAGCCCCUUAAGUGUGUGACCCUAUGGGUUCGGAUACGUAUAGACAUGGCCCGAGUACUCCUACUCGGCCCAAUAGUCGGUAGCGGCCUCUAGCAAGACGUGCCAACUCCUAUACACACACGAAGAUCAUAUCAGAUGAACCAUCACAACAUAAUAUACAUGCUAUUCCCUUUGCCUCACGAUAUUUGGUCUAGCUUCAAGCCGACCGCUCUUUCUCAAUCCUGUGAUUCGGAAUCCCUUUGUAGGUUAACUCUUAACCGUACGUAGCAUGGCCAUGCAUUUUCGGAUCCGAUCACUCGAGGGGCCCAGAGAUAUCACUCUCAAUCAGAGAGGGGCAAAUCCCAUCUUGAUUGACCAUGUCUCAUAGCAUGCUUCUUGACAAACCCGAAAACUACCUUUAUAACUACCCUGUUACGGCGUAGCAUUUGAUAGCCCCUAAGUAGGUCGAUCCACAUCUAGAAUACAUGCGACAAUCUCAGGUCUAAGGACAAAGCGUAUAUGUUGUUUAAAGAGAGAACUACUUCUCGUGUUGGGUCAGUCCCAGCACAUGUCUCCACAUGUGUCCACAUUAUUAGUUCAACAUCUCCAUGUCCAUGACUUGUGAAACAUAGUCAUCAACUAAUACAUGUGCUAGUCUAAUAUUCAUGUGUGUCCUCACAUGAACUCCGACUAGGGACAACUUUAGAAUAACCAUACAAGUAAAGAGUUUCACAUACAAUUCACAUAAUUGCAAAUCAAUUCAAGUAGCCUUCAAUGGAUAUUCAAUGAACACAACAUACAAAUCAUGGAUACAAAUGGAAUAUCAUCAUCUCUAUGAUUGCCUCUAGGGCAUACCUCCAACAAUUAUUUCAUGUAAAUUUUUGACAAUUUUUUAAAAUUGUUUGAUAUUUUUUAAAUUUUUUUUAAAAUAACUUUGCCGAGUGUCCUAUUGUAGACACUCGGCAAAGCAGCCUUCACCGAGUGUUACCCCUGGGACACUCGGCGAAUUAAUGCCCGGCCGCUCAAGAAUAUGUGCCCGGCCCCCUCACUCUCCCGGCCCCCCUCACUCUCACUCCCCUCACUCCCUCCUCUCUCCCUCCUCUCUCCCUCUCGCCGCCGCCCGAAACCCCCGCCGCCGCCCGCCGCCCGGCAUGCCGCCCAGCGCCCCCCGCCGCCGCCCGGCGCUCCCGAAUCCGCCGCCGCCCGCCCGGCGCCCGGCCCCCGGAUCCGCCGCCGCCGGCCGCCCGGCGCCCCCGGAUUCGCCGCCGCCCGCCCGGCCCCCGGCCCCCGGAUCAGCCGCCGCCCGCCGCCCGGCGCACGGCGCCCCCGGAUCCGCCGCCGCCUGCCCGGCGCCCGGCCCCUGGCCCCCUGAUCCGCCGCCGCCCGCCCGGAUCCGCCGCCGCCCGCCCGGCGCCCGGCCCCCGGCCCCCGGAUCCACCGCCGCCCCCCCGGCCCCCGGAUCCGCCGCCCGCCCGUCCCCUCCACCGGAUCCGCCGGCGCCGGGGCCUGAAGAGAAGAGAAGAGGAGAGGAUGGUGGCGGCGGCGGCCGCGGCGGCGGAGCAGGUGGCAGAGCAUGCAUGAUUUUUUUUUAUUUUUUCAAUAAUUGUUCGCCAAGUGUUUUCUGGGCACUCGGCAAAGUCUUUGCCGAGUGCCCGACACAAAACACUCGGCGAACCAGUGUUUGCCGUCAAGAUUUUUGCCGUGUGUCGUUUGCCGAGUGUUACACUCGGCAAACGCUUUGUCGAGUGUUUUUGGGGUUUCGCGGAGUGACCCUGGCACUCGGCAUCACGCAUGUUUCCCUUAGUGAACUUGAAAUUAUCUGUACAUUCUCGGUGAAGCUGUUGAACUAAUUUUUGCAAAUUAUUAAUUCAUCUCAUUACGCAAAGAAAAAAGUAAGUGGAUAAGAUAUUUCGUGGACCACAUCACUGCAAACAUGUCAUGGAGAGACAGACCAAGGAGGCAGGACGUGAUACACGACUUACCCUAGGUUGCCGUGGAACCGCCAAGAAGAGAUACAGAUACAUGGACCACACCAUCUUGGGAGUAGUGACAGCAUAUAUGCAGAAGAAUACCCCGUGCCUAUUUGCAUGCAUGUCUCAAGUGAUCUGUUUUCUUCAGAAAAUACAUGAGCAUUGCCAGAAAGAAUGGCAAGAGACAAACAUGUCAUAGAGACUUGCAUGUCUUGCCUUGGAUACGCCAAGAAGAGGGACACAUACAUGGAUAACACAAAUCUAGUGACACGUAUAUUCAUCACAAAGGCAAAUCUGAUAAUUUUAUCCAUGGAGCAGACCAAGGAGAAAUUGAUGACGGACAUGUGAUCUCUGUAUUCAGUUGAAAGCUAAUUGAGCUACACUAAUAUGAGCAGGACUAUAUUCAAGAGACUUGUUGAGAGCUACAGGGAACUUGUAAUAAUUUGCUGGGCGGCCUGCGCACAAUGAUUUGUUAUACAUAGUUGAAAUAUUUCAAGAAUUUAUCAACCUCAUACUCUGAAACCCUUGGUGCAAUGUACUCUGCUUUCCGAGGUAGACUGUUCACGUAAAAUGAGGUCAUGCGUAAGACGGAAUCGGAUUGGAUUCACAGGGAAUCAGAUUUGGAUAGCACCUUUUAGCAGGUUUUUAGUCAAAUGCAAAUUCGGAUCCACAUGUGGUUGAAUGCGAGUUCAAAAUUCUACUUGGAUAUCCAUUUAAUUUAGGUGAUAGCAAUUAGCACAAAAUGUUGGAUGAACAAAAUCAUAGUUAGACAUACAAUUACAUGUAUGGUUAAAGUAUAAUACAAUACACCAAGAUUAUUCCUUGAAAAUAUUUCUUAAAAAUAUUAUAAUAAAUGAAUAAAUAUAAUUGUGGCCACCAACAAAUAGUCGGUGGUCGCUAAGUUGGAGCCAUUUCUGGUUACUAAUGCGGCCUUCUCCUCGACCAGCGACGACAGCUGAGCUUGUUCCUUCUGACACUAAAUCAUCAGAGUCUUCCCUCCACUACUAUAGAAUGCACCUUUAGCACCAAUUGGGAAAUCCCCUUCAGUAUUGGAUGCUGCAACCAGUGCUAUAUAUCAAAAUGGAGACUAAAAGCCUCGGUCUUGGGUACCGGUUGCAUAACGCAUUACUAAAGGAGGCAAAAGAGAAAUGUAACAAAAAAAAUAUUUUGAAUUCCAAGAAUGUUUCACUAUUCAAGAUGACUAGCUGAGAGUCAACAGACAAGAUACUAGGAAUGUGGGUGCUUGAAUGCAUUUGUACAGAGGUCAUACUAUUUACAAACUCUUCUAUGUUUCCAUAUGACUACCUACUUCAAUGUCACGCGAGCCAUUCAGCUGGACACAUGGCACACUAGCUUGCAUGUCGAAUCCAUGAUUAAUUAUUUGCACUUGUGAUCUCUUACCAGUAUUUGUCCAGACUAGAAACGUGCAACACAUUUUUAGGAUAUGGACACGCAUAUAUUUGGACUAGUAUACAGGUCACCUUUGGAUGCGUACAAGGAUGACCGGGAGGGACUAAUGGAUACAAGGAAGGGACCAUCAGGAUUAAUAUUGACAUAUGCCACAUGACAAUCUUCAUUGUCAUGCAAUCCCUAUCAACAAUCAUGGAAUCCCUAGUGUACUAAUCCCUGGAGGGUUGUGUGGAAAUUUAUUUUACCUUGCGGUGAAAAUCUCAUGAGCAGUCAUUAGUUAAGCUGACUAGCUGAGAUAUAAUAGACAAGCUAGUAAGAUUGGGAGCAUCAAUGCAUCCAUACAGGGUCACAAUAUCCUUUCCAUUCACUUUUAUAUAUAACCCUACGAAUACAAGUCCAACGAAAUGCGGGCCUUUCGAUCAAGAUAAAUUAAAUGGCCCACUUGUAUUUCUAAUCCAGGAUUAACUAUGCCCUCUGUUCAUCUCUUGCAAGCACGUGCAACACAUUUUCACGAUAUGGACAUGCAUGGAGGUUAUUAUACUGUUUGGACAAACUCUGAUGUGCCAUGACCUAAAUGCUUAGGGCCUGUUUGGUUUGAGUUGCUUAUUAUAAGCAACUUAAAGUUGCUUAAAGUUGCUUAUUUGAAGUUGCUUAUUUUUAGUCUAAACUGUUUGGAUACCCUUGCUUAUGAGCAUUGAAUGAGUUGGACAUUGUCAAAUUUGCCCCAUGUGUUGCUACCCCUCCAAUUUGCCUCCCCACCCUUCUUCUUCCUGCACACGUCCGAUCCCGGGGGCCGACGGCGGGCAGGGAGCAGCAGCAGCUGGCCAGGGCGGCGGUGGGGCGGGAGCGGCGGCGCACACCAGCACGCGCUCGCACGCCAGGUGCUAGGGCGCGGCGAGGCAGUCGUCGUAGCCCACCGGGAGCGGGUGCUCGGGCGCGAGGCGGUACUCGACGGAGAUGCCGAGCGUCGGGCGCGCGGCGGCGAGCGCGUUGAGGAAGCGAUGGUAGUGCGGCGACGUCGCGGACUCCGCCACGAAGCCGCCGCCGUGGACGUACACCACCACGGGCAGCUUCGUCUUGCCGUCGGCGGCCGCGGCCGCGGCCUGGGGUGGCAGGUAGAGGCGGACGGAGCAGGAGCCGAGGUCGACGUCCCUGGAGUCGACGCCCGUGGCGGCGUCCAGGCUAGGCCCGACCGGCGGCGGCACGAGCGGGCGCUCGAUGCGGCCGCUCUUGUAAAUCCGACGGGUCUGUGCGGAGGCGGGCGGCGGGCGGGAGCGGCGGGUGGGAGCGGCGGCAGGUGGUGCGGAGGCCGGCGGCGGCGGGUGGCGCGGAGGAAGGGGAGCUGGUGAGUGGUGACAGGGGAGGGGGGGAGAGAGAGGGGGGGGUAGGGUGCAUUGAAUGAGGGCAGGAGGUGUAAAGUGCACCUUUUAGUCCCCAUGAGCAACCAUAAGCAGCCCAAGAGUUGCUUAUUUGCUUAUAAUAAGCAACCUCAUAAGCAAGAGUGAUUGGUUUCAUAAGCAACUUAUUUGCUUAUUUUAAGUUGCUUAUGCAUAAGCAUGUGAAACCAAGCAGGUCCUUAACCUAUGGUUGUGGCACCACACAGUACAUAGUAUUUAAUAAUGCUAUUCGUUUGGUAUGUGCACAAGGGCACGCAUGAAAUGUCUGGCCCACGGUAAACAAGUACGGACGCUGCAAAUAAUCUACUCUGCUCGUCCAGUCCCUAGCCUAUAAAUAGAUGCCAUGCUAGCUCUUGUUGUGCUCACAAUUAAUCCUGACUACACACGAGCUUCUCUCCCUGGCCAAGACACAAUCAUAGUAUGAUGAAGAACAUGGCACUAGCCGGCAAUGGUAUGAAGAACUUAAUCCUCGCUGUUCUCUUACUGUGUCUAGUUAUAGGGCAGAUACAAGUGGAAGCUAAGAGCUGCUGCCCAUCCAUUACUGCAAGAAAUAUCUACAAUGCCUGCCGUAUCACGGGUACAUCCCGUCCAACGUGUGCAAAACUGUCAGGCUGCAAAAUUAUCAGCGGGGACAAAUGCAAGCCCCCUAACGACCACCUCACCCUUGACCCGGACACUGGUAAAUAAUAAAUUUAUCUCACUUGAUUUCUUCGUGUUUUGAGUCGUUAAUGUAUUUUCCAUCUGAUGAAACGUAUUGGUUUUGCAUUGAAGAGGAAGUUAAUGUGCUUAACUUCUGCAAGUUGGGGUGUGCGUCGUCUGUGUGCAACAACAUCAACGCUGGUAAGCACCUUUUGCUCAGACGGAGAAAACAAUAAUCAUUAAUUAGCGGCAGCUAGAAUCCUAUAAUCUAAUAUAUUUAUAUAUAUAUAUAAUUUUAUCAGCUCUGGGAAAUGAAGAGGCGAACGAUGCCGUUGAGAGUUGCGACCAAGCCUGCUCUAGCUUCUGCAACGUGCACGUUGGCGCUGCCACCGUGGUUGCUUAAGCAAAUGCAUCCAACUGGAUCGUCCUUGUGCUAAAUAAUUGGAUAUCGUAUCCACUUAAAGCUGCCUUGUGUAGUACGUUUUUGUUUGUGUCUCUCUUUAUAUUCCAAUAAGGUCGGUGAUCUUGAUGCCACACACUCAGACGUGUGUUCAUCUCCAGAUACUACUCCAUGCUACCUGCCCUUUGUGUUUUGUUCAAUAACUGGGUAUCAUAUCCCAGCCAGUGUGCCAUCUGUUUUGUGUUUAUUUCCUUCUAGUUUCAAAGGGGUUAUCAUGAUGUUACCUUCUUUCGAUAUGGUGCUUUGCAUGAC